This 75171-nucleotide long non-coding RNA is filed under the name Vitis vinifera (wine grape). Its description in RNAcentral is "long non-coding RNA (VVIN_LNC005011)". The record is from RNAcentral. Lineage: Eukaryota; Viridiplantae; Streptophyta; Magnoliopsida; Vitales; Vitaceae.
AUAAUGAUGUCCGGCAAUGCUUUGAUUGUCAUGCUUGGAUUUAUGUCUCUCAAGAGUAUACAAUCAGGGAGCUUUUGCUAGGCGUUGCUGUUUGUGUUAGGAUUCUCUCCGAAGAGGAAAGGAGUAAAAUGAACGAGAGCGAUUUGGGGAAUAGUCUUCGUGAUUACCUGACUACCAGGAAGUACUUGAUAGUUAUGGAUGAUAUGUGGAGAAAUGAAGCUUGGGAUAGGUUGGGCUUGUAUUUUCCUGACUCGGUGAAUGGCAGCAGAGUGUUGAUCACCUCACGCAAUAAAGAGAUUGGUCUUUAUGCUGAUCCACAAACCAUUCCCCAUGAACUUUCUUUUCUGACUGAAGAAGAGAGUUGGGAGCUCUUUCUCAAGAAAAUUUUUCUGGCUGGGAGUGCAAAUGCUGUUUGCCCAGAGAAUUGGAAGAGUUGGGAAAGAAAAUUGUAGCAAAUUGUGGGGGUUUGCCCCUUGCAAUUGUGGUCUUGGGAGGCCUUCUAUCAAGAAAAGAAAAGACACCGCUCUCCUGGCAAAAAGUACUGGACAGCCUAACUUGGCACCUAAAUCAAGGUCCAGACUCAUGUUUGGGGGUCCUUGCUUUAAGCUACAAUGAUAUGCCGUAUUACUUGAAGUCCUGUUUCCUUUACUGUGGUCUUUUCCCAGAAGACUCAGAAAUCAGGACAGAUAAGUUGAUCCGCUUGUGGGUUGCAGAAGGGUUUAUACAAAGAAGAGGAGAAGAAAUAGCGGAAGACGUCACGGAAGAUCACUUACAGGAAUUGGUACAUAGAAGCAUGAUUCAAGUGGCUGCCAGGAGUUUCGAUGGAAGAGUGAUGUCCUGUCGCAUGCACGAUCUGCUUCGAGACCUUGCCAUUUCUGAGGCCAAAGAUACAAAUUUUUUUGAGGGAUAUGAAAGCAUUGAUUCUACAUCCCCUGUUAGUGUUCGUCGACUAACCAUUCAUCAAGGUAAGAAGACUAAUUCUAAACACUUGCAUACUUCACGUAGUCUCCGAUCUUUCAUUUGUUUUUCUGUAUGCUUCCAAGAAAACAUUUUGAGAUCUUUACACAGGCGUGUCAAAUUGCUCACUGUACUGGACCUAGAACGCAUGCCUAUCAGUACCUUCCCAGAAGCCAUAGGAGAACUUAUCCACCUUAAGUACUUGUGCUUAAGGGGAACCUGCAUAAAAAGUCUUCCAUCGUCCAUAGGUCGUCUUACUAAUCUACAAACCCUAGACUUUCGAGGCACUUUAAUUGAAAUAAUUCCCUCUACCAUUUGGAAAUUGCACCAUUUGAGACAUCUAUACGGUCAUGGUGUGGUUUCAAGCCAGUCAGUGAUAGAUAAGUGCAGGAAUGGUCCUUUGAGUGUUGGCCACCUAACAAACCUCCAAUCGUUAGGUUUAAGAGCAGGCAGUUGGUGCUGUGGUGAAGGCUUGGGAAAAUUAAUUGAGCUUAGAGAACUGACAAUUGCAUGGACCGAAAUCGCACAAACAAAGAACCAGGGAUUUUCCGAGUCAGUAAAAAAGCUAACUGCUCUUCAAUCCUUGUGUUUGUAUCCUCGUAUAGGAGAGAAUUUUAACCAUGCCGCACCUCAUGCCUUUCUCAGACCACACUUACCUUUACCAUCUAAGUUUAAGAGGAAGGCUCGAAAGGUUCCCUGAUGAAAUUGAAUUCUACCCUCCAAACCUCGUCUCCUUGGAAUUGGAAUGUUGGAAUAUAGAGCAAGACCCAAUGGUGACCCUAGAGAAGCUGCCAAACUUGAGAUUUCUCAGAUUAUUCCAUUGUUCCUCUAUGUUAAAGAAGAUGGUCUGUACUUCUGGAGGAUUCCAGCAACUCGAAACCCUUAAGCUCUGGAAUUUGAAAGAAUUAAAAGAAUUGAUUGCGGAGGAAGGGGCAAUGCCUGAUCUGAAGGAUUUAGUAAUUGAUACUUGCCCUAAAAUGAAAAGGCUUUCCCAUGGAUUGCUGCAACGAAAAAAUUUGCAGAACCUAAGUUUGUAUGAUUUGUCUCCUGAGUUAAUGGAUGAGCUUUCUCGGAUAGAAGGAGAUCUGGAGAAGAUCUGCCUCGCCACCUCAAUACACGGGUGGAGGCGUACGGCAUCUUGAAGGCUCAGGAGAAGUUUCAUAAAGCGCUACCAGGAAAUGCUUGGACUGUACUGAAGAGCAUUUCCAAUGCAACAAAUCUUUCUAAGCUCGUCUUUUUCCUUGUUUUUUCUGCUUUUGGACUGUAAGAUGCUUCCACGUUUUCAAAUAAAGUGAUCAGUCAGUUUAUAAUUGAACCUCACUGGAGUUUUAAUAAGAGAAAACCAACAGAAUACAUGCAAGAGUAGAAGCCCGUACACUUCUAAAAGCUGAGGCAUGCUUAGGAAGUGUUUUUAAAAAACAGUUUUUAAAAAUAAAUUUAUAAUAUUUUCAUAAAUAAAAUUAUAUUUGAAAAUUGAAUUAUAAAAAACAGUUUUCGUUCUAAAAAAACAUGUAUAAUUAGUUAAUAAAAACGACUAUUAACAAUAAAUAAAAUGAAAACUUGUUUGGAAGUUGUUAUUGUUGGUUUUUAUUUAUUUAUUUAAAGUUGGGUAUUUUCUUUAAUUAACUUGAUAUUGUAAAAUUAUAAAUAAUUUUUACAUUCACACUUCAUUAAAAAUAAAAAAUAUUCCAUUUUCAAUUUUUUUUUGCAUCAAUUUUAAUUUUUUAAAAUAAAAUAUUACUUUGUAAACAUGUCUAAGUAUGUUUGAUUUCAAUAAUUGGUAAAUUAUUUGAGCAAAAUAUCAUAAAUUGGUAAAUAUUAAUAAUUGGAUUUUAUUGGAUAAAAUUUAUGAUAUCAAACAAUAAUGCAUUUGUAGACCCCCAUAUGGGGCUUGUUUUUUUUCAUUUGCUAUAGGUCACACUUCUUGCCAAGUGGAGGGCUCUUAAAGAGCCAGAUGCUGCUUUCUGGUUGGGUGGUCAGUGAAUCAGGUAGUAGGUUGGAAAUGCAGUGAGGUGUAGACACCUAUUGGAGGAUAUUCAGAAGAGCUUUUGGGCUGUUAGAGUGGAGUUGGGUGAUUUUUUUUGAAGUGUGAGGGGGACCCCCCUCUCUUACCAUGAAUCCUGGCCAGAUGGGACGGGUAAGCCAUACUGGCUGAUGCAUGAACAGGAGGAGGCAGGUGGUGACUUGCUAAGGAAGGUGAUUCCAAGAAGGGGGAAACAGAGAAGAAGAGAGAGGGGAGUUUAGCUUGAGAGGAGAGUUUGGCUGGAGAGGACUGGUGGGAAGGAGGCAUUCCUUGGUUGGUUGCUUGAGAGGAAGGAGAGCUGUCCGAUUUCUUGCCCACCUAGCUGGAGAGAGUUAUUUUGAGGUACGUUUAUUGUGUAUUCUUCGUCAGCUUCUAUUAGUGUGCUUUUCUACUUUGUUUUUGCUGAUUCUCGGAUGAUGAUUGUUGAUUGGGAGUGAAUACGUUCAUAUUUUUGCUAAUGGUUUUGUAGUGGUUUAGUUUGCUCUGGUUUUGAUUUCUCCAUGAGAUAUUUUUGUAACCACGUUUUACCUUUCAUUUGACACUCGUUUAAUCUUACCCACCAUCAUCUAAGCCUGUUGGUAUGAUAUGAAGCAUAGUUUGUCGGGCUCAUUUUCUUGUAUCUACUCUUUGUGCUCUGUUUUGUUAUCCUCCUUUGCUCUUGAUAUCCGUCCAUGGUACGCAUCCAUUUUCUCAUCCCUGCUUGAAGGAGAUCCUAGAAAAUCUGGAGUAGUUGUCAUGGCAGCAAAACUCAUCUCAUCAGCAUUCCCAUACCCAUUCUCGUUUAUUAUUCAUCAUUUUAUCCAACAUGCCUACGUCCCCAUCCAUCACUCCACUCCUAUUCCCGUUUAUCUUCAUCAUGCGUAAACCCCCACACAUCUCAUACCGGGAGGUGAUGUCUCAAGAUGAUAUAGGAAGCUAGUAUUUGAAUUUGUGGAAAGAAGGGCGGAUUUAGUGGUCUCAUGGGAAUACUAUGGCAUGAAGGUGGUGGUUCUAUGCUGAAGAGAUGGUGGACAAUGGUGGAUGUUUCUGGUCUGUCUGUGUUACAAAUCAAGACUUUGGUCUGACAGUGAGGAGAACCAGAAGGACGCAGCGCAUGGAUGAUAUUAAAGAGACUGAUGAUCUUUUCAGACCGCUGAAAGAGCCAAGGAAUUCAUAUGAUAUGGUACAUUCGGGCAAUGUAAGCUUUGGAGUAGAUGCAGUCCGUGUUACUAAGUCAAUUUCGUCACCUCUCAAGGACCCAUUGAUAGAAGUGCACCUAACUUAUAAGUCUCAGGCCUUCCCAUUCGAAAAUCAUGUUGUAGCCAAUAACAGGGCAUCGGGUCAGAUUUCUGAGAAGCUGAAUGUUUAAAUAUCCGGUGUUAAUGAUAUUAUCAUAUGGGUAAAUCACUCUUCAACUCAAUAUCCGGAUGCCAACUAUGAUGCUGUCAAGACCCCUAACUAGUAAAAAGCCUGUGUGAAGGCCUGUGAAUGGUAGAAUGAAGAAUUAAUCACUACCAUAUUCUCACCCUUCAUGCCCGUUUAACUCAUCAUCAAUACCCAUGUGUACACCCGUUUAAUCAUACCACCAAACCCGUUUAUCUCUCUAAACCUUCACUUACCUGUGGGAUCCUCCCUAAAAAAAUGUCACGUGGCUCUCUCUCCCUUGCGCAUGCAGACGGUCCCCCUUGCGACGUGCGGCAUAGCUCAUUCCACCCGGGGAAGAAUUCUUUCCGACCGACAUUCAACCUUCUCCGGAUGUCUCACAUCCAGAAUUCUGUCCGGCCGACGUUCCACCUUCUCCGGAUGUCUCACAUCCGGAAUCCUGUCCGGCCGACGUUCCACCUUCUCCCGAUGUCUCACAUCUGGAAUUCUGUCCAGCCAACGUUCUAUCUUACUUGGAUGUCUCACAUCCGGAAUUCUUCUCCACCGACAUUCCACCCGGGUAUCUCACAUCCAAAAUUCUUCUCCACCGACAUUCCACCCGGAUGUCUCACAUCCGAAAUUCUUCUCCGCCGACAUUCCACUCGGAUAUCUCACAUCCGGAAUUCUGUCCGGCCGACGUUCCACCUUCUCCGGAUAUUUCGCAGCUGGAGCUUGUUGCCGGGUGAGAGAGGAGGACGAUUCAACUUCCCUGGACAGACAUGUCCGGAUCCUCUAGUGACGUUUACCCGGGCAGCUUGGCUCGUCAGACACUCGCGAUUCACCGGAUCCAUUUCUGCCCACAAUCAAAAGGCAAACUCCGAUAAUACCGACGACCAAGUCUCCUGAACUGUCACUCAUCUUUAAUGCAAGAUAGAUUGGGCUUUGGUGGGGGCCCCACAAGCGUGAUUUUAUGAUUGAUUGGUGGAUUGAUUGAUUUGAUUGCUAUAUGUGAUUGAUUUACACUAUUCUAUGAUACACACACGAUUAUCCUGUGUUUAAUUGCUAACAUUUGUUUUCAUCGAAGUAAAUCGGUUCAUCACCCAGGUACAUUCUUUGUCUCUCCUAUUCAUUCAGUUAUUUUGUUUCGGGUGAUAUUCAUUUGGUAUCCAUGCUCGAUUAAUCAAUUGCCAUGAUUGCUUCAUUUUAUUAGUAGAGACCCGUUUUAGGGACUUAGAAGGGUGCUACGGUCUUUACCGUACCUUCCCGAUAAGUAACCUGACCCCCGAACCCGAUCCGGUUUUUCGUAGACCACCUUUUCCAAACUAAGGAGUCACACUUAAGGUUUUUUUCUUUCUUAUUUUGUUUACCCUUUAAAAAUAAAACAAAAAUAAGUGGCGACUCCAAGUCAUUUUUUUUAACCGAUUAAAUCAUUUUUCAAAAUAAAAAUCGAGCUCGCCAUCGAGUAGGGAACGCAUGAGCCGAAAUGCGGGGUCCACAAAAUGGCGACUCUGCUGGGGACACUUUUAGAGGGUCAAGCUUGAACUUAGGAUGAAGCAAAUGUGGCGUUUGAUGAUUCGGUCAGUGGAUACCUAUCUCUUGAUUGCACAUUGAGAGUUCCCGAUACUAUUGGAUGCAUGCUUGGGUGUUUGUUUUUACUUGGGACAUUGACAUGUUGACUAUGAUGAUUAUUUAUCUUGAUUGUGCAUUCUGAUUGUGGCGUUUUUUUUUCGUGCUUCAUAGCUAUAUAUGUUUGGGACAUUGAUAUGUUGAUUAUGUUAAUUGAUCAUCUUACCUUACUUAGCAUAGUGACUCUGAUUUUGCCAUGUUUGCUCUGAUUACCUCACAUAUAUAGACUCACCAUUGUAUAUCAUUUGAUUUGACAUGAUUGAUUCUCUCAGUUAUAUAUUAUCUUGUUUAUCAUAGAGCAUGCUAUCAUUUGUCAGAUAUUCUUCUUGAUUAGCUUGUGUGUAGAUUUGGAUGAUAUAUACCUGUUUUGCAUGACUGUCUGUUGCAUGACUCUUCUCAUCCUGAUGCGACUGCAUGAGUUGUGUGUCUAUGUGGAACACACACUUAUCCCCUUAUUUCCAAGUCCCUAGUCUCGGUCGACAUUGUUUUCCUUGCUCUCAUAUUUGAUAUGAGACUUGUUUGCUUUGUUUGCUCUUCGACCGAGCUAGUGAUUAGGAGUAGGGUUUAGCGAUGGGCUAUAUCUAUGAUUGGGAGCGUUCUGGAGGUGGUCAACAUAUUGAUGCUGAUUGGAGUCUGAACUUUGAAGACUUGUAUAGCCCAAAGCUAGAUUUCAGGAUAUUUGUGUGACCAGUGUGUCUUAUUUUAGUUUCAUAGGAUUUUCAGAUGCACCCACACCUUUCACUGUGCACUCUAGUUGACCAUUGAGCGUUGAGAGUUAGGAGAACUUUCACCAUAGGAGCCCCCUGGGAUGCGAGAUAGUGCAUGUGUGGAGGUGAUGACCCCCUUGGAUAGAAGUGCCCCGUCUCUUUGGAGGCGUGCAGAGGGUUGCAUACGCCGGAGGGUACGAUCGCUUCUGCUAGGGAUCCUUUAAAGUCCACCAUUUUUCUUUUUAGAGCCACCUUGACCUCGUAGGUUGAGCUGUAGAUCCUUCGAUUAGGACUUCCUUCCCUACACGUGAGUGCAUCUGAGGGCCUUCAAAGCCUCUUUAGUUACAGUUCGGAUCCAAUACUUCCUCAUUUGGUCUUCAGUUGAGAGUGCUUAGAGAUCAGUGCGAGUUUGAGAAUCAGUUGGACCACCCCUUAUUGUAUGGUUUUGGUUUCUUCUUGUCGCUCAUUGAGUUUAGCACACUUUCUUCCUAGGACUUUAGAUAGUCUUCUUUUCUUAGGCUGACACAUUCUUUCAGUUUGUUGUCACUUUCUACUUAAUGUUUUGAGAUAUGUUCAUUGAUUAUGCUCACUUUUUUAUAUUCUUCACCUACCAUGGGCUUGAUACUUCAUUCUUUGGUUGAGUCGCCUGAUUCUAUUUUCAACCAGAUUUUCAUUACAAAAAGGUGAAAGGCAGGUUUUCACAUUCACACCAUUUUUUUUGAGAUGUUCGCCUUUACCACCUAAUCAUUUUUCUUUAUUGAGUUUGUGUUGAAAGUGAAUCAGAGAUAUUGUGUUAUAGAUGGAGUAUCGAUCUCAUGACAGUGUUGUUUUUCACACCUCAUUCAUUUUUUGGAUCAUUGAUAGAAAUUCUUUAGUCACAUUUGUAGCCAUUUCACAGUGGACACCUUUAUGACCUUAGAGUUUCUGUCAUAUUUCCAGUUAUAGAUUGCCAUCACAGGACCAUAUAUCAAAUGAUGUGUUGUACUUUUGACUUAGGACAUCUAUUCAUUUGCGCGUCAUGAUCACUCUAGUCUGACCUAUCAUGGAGGAUAUUGAGCCUUUUGACCUAGGAUUAGGAGAUUGACCUAGGGAGUUCGAGACUGUGACCCAUUUCACCUUCCGCUUAGAGCAGUACCAUAUCCAUAUCCAUACCCUGACUCUGUGGACUUGUUGACCUACCCAUUUUGAGCCUGACAUGACACCACCCCUUGGCACCAUUACAUGACUUUACUACCCUUGUUCGCCUUAUCAUGCUACAAUACCAUUGCCUUUCCUUUCCAUCAUUUCCUUGAUCUGACUAGGUAGAGUCCGAGAUGGUUAGACCCGAGGUGAGCUUUACAUGAUGAUAGAUGGAUCGUGAUGAGAGAGUGGCUUGACUGUUUGACGAUAUUGUUGAGAUGGAGGGGUUAUCAUGGAGCAUCCAGAUUCGAGCCAUUGCACAUGACUUCAGAGAGUCGGGAUGAUUAGACAUGGUGAUUUUAUGAGAUGAUGGUGAGUGGCUUGUGAUGAUAGAGUGAGUUGAUUUUCAGAGUACAUUGAUGGUUGUCAUAGAGCAUCGGUGGGAGCUUUCGCACAAUUUCAGAGGAGUCGCCAUGACUAUGUUGGAUGGAUGCCAGUCUUUAGUAUUGGCCAUGUGAGAUCUCGAAAGCACGAUGUUCGAGGUUUUGGUCAAAGGAUGGGUGGCCAUCAUUUCAUGAGCCUACUUACUUUAUUACCCUCACAUAUAAAGUUACCCGUUGCUAGCCCUUUGAGCCUCACACGAGCACAUAGCCUUUUCUUUCAUCACCUCAUUUACCUAUUACACCGGGUUGGAGACCCUAUAGUGCUUGCAUGCUAUGUUUGGAUACAUCAUGAGUUCCAGACCUGACAUACAUAUUCAGGCAUCAUUCCUCACUCUUCAUUGUGAUAUUUUCCGUUUGGACAUCAUUUCAUCACUAUUUUCCGAUAUCACAUACCACCACUUGUGAUAUUUGUUCUUUGUCUUUUCCUUUCCUCAUUGAUUACUCGACAUUAUUCGUGUUUCACCUUGAGUGGUGGUUUUUCACACGUCACUGCAUGGAGGAUUGUCACAUUCUUUCCUAUCAUUCACCCCAUGGGCAGUGGUUCAGAGAUGUUAUUUUGAGAGGUUGUCUUGUUAGUGAGGAUUCAUGUUACAUUCGUAUGUGGAGAGGGUUUGAUCAUUUGGGUAUGUAUUUUCAUGGGAGUUCAUUCAUUAUUGAUUAGAGUAUGCGCAAAAAAAAAAAAAAAAAGAGGCGCAUUCUUCAUUGUAUCAUUCUCCAUUGGGCAUGUGUAUGGACGUGCCGGUUUGCUUCAUUCAGUUUAUGUGUCAGAGAGAGUUCGUAUGAGAGCUUAUUUAUGAGAUUCUAUCUUGGUGUAUAUUUCGAGUGAGAGUAUGAGUCAUCCAUUCGAUUUUUGUGAGAGAGACGAGCGACUUUUCUUUAGUAUCUCUGGAUCCUUGUUCUAUCCAUCAUUCCAUCUAUUUCGGAUGUGACUACUUUCUAUGCUUUGAUGCAGGAUGACCAUCACUCAUUUUUCUACCUCUUUGUUUUCUUGUAUCUUUGUUUUGUUCCUCCAUUCCACUCUACCUCAUCUGAUUUCUUUCUUUUCUCAUCCUUCUUGAUGUUUGACUUGAGUUCAGCAUCUACACUUUAUUCUUGCUUAUUCGAUAUGUUCAUCCCUUUAUCAUCACUUUUGGUGUAGGGACCCCUAGAUUCGGGACUCAUGACGUUUUCUAUGCAUUGCAUUUCAUGCACGAGGGGGUAUGGGGAUUAUAUCAUUGGGAUCUUUGAGCCUAGUUUCCUUUCAUUUCUUUCACUCUAUUACCUUAGCCUACGUUACGUCCCGUGUCCGAAGACCACCCUGAGGCCAUUACUUUACAUCGUGUUUGACAGCUCCCAUGUGGGCAAUACUCGAGCUUGGUCGGAGAUUAUUUCUCAGAGCAUGAUGGAUGGGGAGUUGAGAUGAUGAUUUACAUUGGGCCAUACCCCUCUUAUCAGUGAUGGAUUUUCAGAGGUGACAUUAUCUACACUGGGGCAUACCCCGCUCAUCGAUGACAGUUUCUUAGUGGGAUGACGUUUUGCACUGAGGCAUAGUCAGUUGGUUUUUUCACUCGGUUUAUGAUGGAUUGGGAGUUGUGGGAUGACCCUACACUGGGGCAUAGCCAUUUCAGAGGGUGUUUUUAUUGGAGAUACAGUCACUCUACUUGGUAUUCUGCAUUGGGACACACUCCUCUCAUUGAUGAUGGAUUUUUCGAGAUGAUGGCUUAUUUUGAGACAUGAUUGCUUCAGAGAUUGUGCGUGCAUUGAGGGAUGACAUUGACCUUGUUCUGAGGACACAUACUGAGGCAUAGUUGUCUCAUUGGUGAUGGACUUUGAUUGUUCAUUGGAGCAUAAUCACUUCAGUUGGUUUAUAUCGGGGCAUAGCCACCACAUUCACAUUCAUGGAGCCCGGGGAUUCUGAUUCAUAUGGAUUACGUUGAGAUGUUUCCGUUUUGGCACCAGGGGUAGAGGUUGAUUGAUUUGUUGACUCGGAUACACUAUUUUACAUUAGGGCGUAGCCGGGAUGGAGAGCAUUUUUCAUUGGAGCAUAGCCACCCUAUUUGGAUCCUUUACAUUGGGGCAUGUCCAUCUUUUGGAGGGAGAUCAGAUUGGUUCUUGACAUUGGAGCAUCUGGCGAGUGAUAUGGAGAUCAUUGGAUUAUUUCAUGUUGUUCCCAUUGCAUACUGGGGCAUAGCCGCCUAGUUGGAUGUUUUGACAUCGAGAUUUGACUUCCUAUUUGUGAUUACUGCUUUUCGAUGGAUUAUGGAGCUGUUGAUACCUCGGGUUUAGUCUUCUUGUCAUACUUGGACGAUCUCGGAUACAUACCUUUCAUCUCGUACUCAGUUAUUUCACCUUGGAUACUUUCAUGCCUUCCAUCAUACUAGAGCCUGAUCAUCACCUUAUUUUAUCCUACACAUCCCACCGUGACGCAUGACCUCACCCUUUUCUCAAUUAGGAGGAGACGUGGAUCAGUCCUCGAUCACCUUGGUUGUGUUGUCAUACAUCUUUUGGACUUUAGGUUCAACAUCUUCCAUGAUGGUAGGGCCUGACAGAUUGCCGAUUUAUUAGUGAUGAUGCUUUCAUUUUGACAGUUGGCACGAUGAGUGUUGAUUUUUGUUUGCUCUUUGCAUUUCGAGCAUUGGUCAUCAUUGUUUUAUUCAUCAGUUAGUUUUGUAGUGUCAGCAUGGUGUCACGAUGCAUGGUCCUAUUUGGCAUUACCUAUUUGAGGUUGGGCAUUUCCGUUACUUGAUGGAUGAGCAUAUUUCAGAGCACAGUAGUUUUGAGACAUUGUAUAUCUUAGUCUGUUUACUGUCACAUACUGGGGCAUACCCUCCUUCCCUGGAUCACUAGACCUUCCACAUGUUUCAUUCACUUUUCGAUCUAGUUGUUGACCCCUAAGAGUUGCAUAUUGAGGCAUACCCUCAUUCCCUAGGAUCAUUGGACCUUUCAUAGGCUUCAUUAUCUUUUGACCUAGUUGUCGAUCCUCAUGAGUUGUCAUACUAGGGCAAAUCCCCUCCAACCGAGUCUACUUGUAUCUUCCUCUUAGUAUCCUCUGACUUUGGGCCACUUGAUCAGAUCAUUGUCCUUUUCAGUUUACGUUUUCGGGACCGCACCUAUAUUGAUCGGUCAUCUUCUUGUCAGUUUGGGUUUUUGUCUUCGGGACCGCACCUAUAUCGAUCGGUCAUCUUCUUGUCAGUUUGAGUUUGCGUUUUCGGGACCGCACCUAUAUCGAUCGGUCAUCUUCUUGUCAGUUUGAGUUUGUGUUUUCGGGACCGCACCUAUAUCGAUCAGUCAUCAUCUUGUCAGUUUGGGUUUUUAUCUUUAGGACCGCACCUAUAUCGAUCGGUCAUCUUCUUGUCAGUUUGGGUUUUUGUUUUCGGGACCGCACUUAUAUCGAUCGGUCAUCUUCUUGUCAGUUUGGGUUUUUGUCUUCAGGAUCGCACCUAUAUCGAUCGGUCAUCUUUUUGUUAGUUUGGGUUUUUAUUUUCGGGGCCGCACCUAUAUCGAUCUGUCAUUUUCCAUGUCAGUUUGUGUUUGGGGCCGCACCUAUAUCGAUCGGUCAUCAUCUUAUUAGUUCGAGUUCAGUUUGAGUCGGGGCCGCACCUAUAUCGAUCGACCGUGUUCCUAUCACUUUCAUGUUCAGUUCGAGUCGGGACCGCACCUAUAUCGAUCGGUCAUUUUCUAUGUCAGUUUGUGUUUUCGGGCCCGCACCUAUAUCGAUCGGUCAUUUUCCAUGUCAGUUUGAGUUUGAGUCGGGGCCGCACCUAUAUCGAUCGGCCAUCUCCUUGUCAUGUUAGUUCAGUUUCAAUCGGUCAUCAUCUUAUCAGUUUGAGUUUGAGUCGGGGUUGCACCUAUAUCGAUCGGUCAUCUCCUUAUCAUGUUAGUUCAGUUUUUUUCGAGACCGCACCUAUAUCUAUCGGUCAUUGUUUUAUCAGUUUGUGUUGGGUCUUGUUCGCCUCCGAGUUGCGCCUACGUAGUUGAGUCUUGUUUUAUAGUUAGUGAUUCGAGUCGUACCCUGUGUUUGGAGAGUAGACCUUAUUAUCUUAUUUUUCGCAUGAUGUACUCUCAUUUCACUUAGUGAUAUUGUUGUUUUCUUGGGUAUGUGUUUUUGUCUUCUUUUUAUUAUUAUCAUUGUUUCGUAUCAUGCAUUUUAUGUGUUGUUAUUUUGAGUAGCAUCGUGUGUCACUUUGUUUUUGUCUCGUGCAUGUGUUUGCCUUAGAGUCUUGGACAAUUUUAGUGUCGUGACUGGUCCCCGAGCAGAUAUUGAUGGUAUGAUGGUUAUGAUACAGAGCACAUUGAGAUUAGACUUCUUUAGUUGAGGUUCACCAUGUCAGACGAGAUCGCACCCAUUACUCUUACUACUCUUUAUGAGAUGAUGGUGGAUUUGACACAGAGGGUUGAAAGGAUUGAGCUUAUUUUGUCAGAGCAUCCAUCGUCAUCGAGAGGAGCUCCAGGAGUAGCGAUGCCUUCAUCGCCACAUUUAACUUCACCGACAUUUGUUACUUUGGGUGCCUCGCAUCCACGACCUCGCCCGCAUUCAGUGCUCCAGCAGCAUUCCUCGUCCAUUUCAUUGGCUACGUCGACAUGACCUCCAUCCCGGCUUCGGGGCCCUCUAGUUAUUACAGUUCCUCAGGAGCGACUUUACCCUCGUCGACGAUGUCGGAGACACUAUUCAGACUUGAGCACACCCCUGAGCAAAGUUUUUGAGACGUUCCAGGCCAUGGGAUUUUUGGCUCCUCUGGCUCCUAGGGCACUUCCAGAUCCUGUGCCUUCCCAGUUUCGACUUGAUUUAUAUUGUACGUACCAUCAGUCAGCAGGGCAUCACACUGAUCGUUGCACUGCUCUACGACAUGCCAUAUAGGACAUUGUUGAUUUUAGGACGUUUGGGCAUCCUCAGUCCGAUAUGUUUCCUAUUCCUACCUCAGCUCAGGCCAUGCAUGCAGACUCCCCUUUACCAACAGUCCCUGAUCUUAUUGAUUUGGGCGAUUGACUCAUGAUUGGCUUACCUUGGUACAGUGGUGCUCAGUUUUUGUUCCUUCUAUGGCCAGAGAUGUGAUGACAGGACCAGUCACUGUUUUUGUUUUUGUUUGUUUGGUCUUGUUUUGCUUUUGACUUUUAGAGACUGUAACUCGAUUCUUGAGUAUUGUCUUUGUUAUCCUUCUUUUGCAUGAUGUACUCAUCGGUUAUCUGAUGCGACUCAUGGUAGCUUAGCUUUAAAGGCAUAUCAACAAAAUUUAUACCUUAAAUACUAUUACUAAAGUAGCCAAGCUACUAUAGCAUAGUGGUUCUAGGAUCGUUCACUGGGAAGGGUUUUCGCAAACACAAGUGAUAUUCAAUUUAGGAAAAUAGGUGAUUUUCUUAUGGAUGUUAGCUUUAAAAGAAAAUGUAAAUGUUUUAGAAAGAUUUAAACUAAUUUAAGCUAACAUUAAAGACUAAAAUGAAAGGGUGUAAAAACAAGUUUCUCAAAGAUAGGAUAGCUAUGCUCUGGCUCUUAUGCAAAUUGGAAAUCUCAGGAUAGGCUCCUCGCGUUGGGGUUGCAACUAUGGUGAUGUUUGCUUCCCGAACCGGUAUGGAUUUAGCAAAUCAAGUUUUAAUCCUUUAAAAUGGCAAACAGAUGGCAGUGAAUUUCAUCAGUGGUUAUUCACCUUAGACUUCCUUUGAAUGGCUCGUAAGAGAUAACUAGUAGUCUAAAGCUAAAAGCUUACCAAAUAUUGGCAACUCAAAGUCAUUCUAGGUGAUAAACUCACCUUUCAAUGGCCAUUGAAAUUGGUUCUAAUGGAUUAAUCCAAAACUUGGAAUUGAAAACCUCACCUUCCAAUAGCUCGUAGGAGAUAACUAAUGGAUAGAAAUCCAAAAGCUUAUCAAGUAUUGGCCGUUGGAAGUUGUCCAAAGGAAAUAAAAAACCAAACUUUGCAUUAAUGAACCAUUAAUGAAAAACGACUACCUUACCUUCCGGGUGCGAGAAAUUUCCAUGGGAUUGCAUCCAAGCCAUCACAUAACAUCCAUACUUUGAGAAACUUAAAAGGUUUUAGCCUCUCAUCCUUGGGGAUUUCAUCCACCAAGGAUGUUUGGCUACUAAGAAAAUAGAAAUGGGGAAGAACCGGAGAAGAGAGAAAAAAAAGAACUUUAUAUAUUUCUAUAUCUAUAUAUCAAUAUUUGUUACAACGGAUGCAAGGGGAUAUAAAUAGAGAAGUUUUUCCAACCUUCCUAGCUAAUAAAUCUUAUGAUUGGUGGAUUACAAGGAGAAGAAUGGAAAUUUAUACAAAAAUAUCUAAAAGAAAAGAUCUAAAGUGGAGUCGGCAGAAACAGGGGAAAAUUCGCACCACGCAUGGGGUGUGCGAAUGGUGUGCGAGUUUCGCACACCGUUCGCACAGCUGAGGGGGUGUGCGAGUUUCGCACAAGCCUGGAGCAGUUUUUUUCGAAGGCCAUAUCUUUCUCGUUUCAGCUCCAAAUCAUACACGGUUUGAAGCGUUGGAUUCUUGACUUCCUGAGCUUUGAAAUGGUAUAUAGCAUGUAGAAAAUGGACUUCGGGAAGUGCUCAAAAAGUGCCAAAGAAGACUGCAGCUGCUGUCCUCUAUUUUCCUCUUUGCUUCUUUUUGCUUCUCUUUGCUUCUCUUUGCUUUUCUCCUUUUGUUGGCUUGCUUUGGUGUAGCUAAAAGCUUGCUUUAACUUUUCCAAGUAGCUCCUCCAUCAUUUGGCAUGCUUGAAUUGAUUCAUAAGCUGAUAUAAACAUGUAAACUUGCCACAAAAUGGUUAAAACCAAUUACUAAGGACCUUAAUGAAUUAAUUGGGUUAAAUGAGUAUGAUUACUACUCAAAGGUGCUUAAAACCAUUAUAAUUAGGUCUACAAAAUAGCACUUUUUGGUAGUAAUCAUUAUCCCAUUGGCUGUCUUUUUCUUUAUGGACAUAUGCUUGUGUUUUGUGAUAUGAUGUGUUGUUCUUUUUACUUGAGGCAUCUCUUCACUUGCACAUUGUGGUCUUGAGGCUUGACCUGUCAUGGAGGAUAUUGAGCCUAUUAGCCUAGGAUCAGAGAUUUGACUUAGGGAGUUCGAGACUGUGACACAUCUUCUUAUGAUCAGAGCAGUACCUUUCUCACUUCCCGCACCUUGUCUUUGUUUUGAUCUACAUUCAUCCAUCCAUUGUGAGCUUUGCACAGCAUCACCCUUGUGACCAUUAUAUGACCUUUCCAUCCUCGGUUUUCCUAGCUUUACACAUCCCUUCUCUGAUUCGACCAGGUAGAGUGUGAGGAGUUUGAGCCCAUGGUUGAUCUGGCAUGGCGAGAGUUGGCUUAUGAUCUUUGGGUGGCUUAUGAUAAGUGGAUUGGUCGAUUGCUUGAUGAGACUGUCACUUAUUUUGUCGUGAGUAUAGAGAUUGAUAUUGUAUGAUGAGAGUUGGCUUGUGAUGGGCAGUAUUGCUUGAUGAGAUCACCGUUUACUUUGCCUGAUGAGUACGGUUGAUACAUGAUUCUAGAGGGUUGAUGUGGUUAUAUCAGAUGGACAUCGAUCUUUAGUAUUGAUCAUUUGAGGGCUUGAUAGCACGAUGUUUGAGACCGUGGUCGCAGGAUGGGUGGCCUUCAUUUCGGUUAGCUCACACCCUAUUACCUUUAUUGACAUCUAGACCAUUGCUAGCCCUUUGAGCCUCGCAUGAGCAUCAUAGCCUUUUAUUUCUUAUAGCCUUGCUCACCUUCUACAUCGGGAUAGGGGCCCUUCAGUGUAUGCAUGCAUUGUUUAGGAGUUUCAUGAGCCUUGGACCGAGGGGCACAUCUUUCUCAUUAUCUUUUCCUAUCAUUGCGUCAUUACAUUUCAUCACAUCUCGUUGGUUCUUCAUCCUCUUCUUUAUUAUAUCUAUCAUUUGUUCCGCUUCAUUUUCUUCCACCCCGAGUGGUAAUCCUCCUCAGUUCAUUACAUGGAGGGUAGUCAUGUCAUUUUCCACCAUCUAUCCUACGGACGUUGAUCCGGGGAUCUUAGUUUGAGAAGGUCACAUCAUCAGAGAGAGUUUAUGUUACAUUGACGUUUGAGAGCAUGUUUAUCCAUUUUUUACCUCAUCUUUGUGGCUUAUUGGUUUGCGUUCAGAGCAUGUAUAUUUGUAUGUAUGUAAAAAAAAAAAAAAAAAAAAAAAAAAAAUGAAAAAGAAAAAAAAUGAAUGAAAAAUAAAUAGGUGCAUGGGUGUAUAUUAUUCUCUAUCAUUGAGAGUGUAUAUCAGUGUUCGAGAGUCGCUUUGUUGGAUAUGUCUAUUGAUGGGAGUUUGUAUGUGAGCUCCCUAAGACCUUUCAUUCUUCGUAUUCAUUUUGUUGUACAUUUUGAGAGUGAGAUGAGUGGCCUUCUCUUAGGAGCUUUGGGUCAUUGUCCAUUCCAUCAUUGCAUUCAUUAUUGACAUGACCUCCUUUCAUAUUUGAUUUGAGCAGAUCAUCACUUGUUCUCGUAUUCUAUGCUUCAUUAUCAUCCUCGUUUUCAUUUCUGAUUCAUCAUUUUUAUUUAACCUCUUAUUCCGUUCUUACAGUGACCUCAUUUUCGGGUUUGAUACCCUCUUCGCAUCAUCAUUAUACAUCUCGUCAUCAGUUCGGUUUUUUCUUCAUUGCAUCAUCAUUGUUACCAUGUUCACAGUAGGCAUUUUCAGGUCCAUGGCUCACGAUAUUUUCUAUACAUGUUGCAUUUUAUACAUGAGGGCAUGAGUUUUGAUCAUUGGGUAUUUGGGCUUAGUUUCCCUUCAUUUCUAUCACCCUAACCUUCGUUACGUCCUGAGUCUUAAGACCACCCUGAGGCCAUGACAUCACACAUUGUGUUUGAUAGCUCUUAUGUGAGCGAUACUUGGGAUUGAUUCAAGAGCAUUUUGAUUGUGAUGGACCAGGAGUUAUGGUAUGGCCUUACACUGGGGCAUAGCUAUCUUAGAGAGUUUUUUUUUUUUUAUCGGAUGACCAUUAUGUCGAGGCAUACUCUUCUUAGUCGAUGGCGGAUUUUUGAGCCAUGUCCAUUCCUUGGAGGAUAUCGGAUGCCCUUUUUCACAUUGGAACAUGAGACAUGAUUGACGCAUUUCAUCUGGUGUACUUUACACAGGGGCAUACCCCCCUUUUAGUCGAUGAUGGUUUUGAGGCGUAGCUGUUCCUUGGAGGUGGUCAGAUUUCUUUCACAUUGGAGCAUGAGACAUGAUUGGCGCAUUUCAUCUGGUGUACUUUACACAGGGGCAUACCCUUUUUCGGUCGAUGAUGGUUUUUAGGCAUAGUUGUUCUUUCAAGACGAUUAGAUUCAUUUCACAUUGGAGUACGGGAUAUGAUUGGUUGAUAUCUUUGACGUGAUCACAGGAGCAUAGCCUUCUCAUCAUUGUUGACAUUUUUUGAGAUGAUUGGAUCGGGACACGGGCGCUUAUGAGAGCAUGCAGCGGAGUUUAGUCAUUUCAGGGUUUGCCCUAUACAGGGGCAUAAGCCUUUCAUUGGCGGUUGAUCUUAGAGAUACCAGUUCACAUUGGGACAUGUUUUUUUAGAGGAGGUCAGAUACUCUCUUCACGUUACCAUGAUGACUUUGAAGAGGAGAGAUCCAUUUUGAUCAGAUGAUGUAUAUUGGUUGUACUCCUCUCAUUGAUGUUUGAUUCAGAGAUGCUUGCACUGGGGCAUAGCCCACUCAUCGAUGAUGAUUUUGUGAGAUGACAGUUUAUGCCAGACACAUACUUCCUAAAUUUUAUCUUGCACUGAGGGCUUACCCAUUUUGGGAUGAUGCAUUCAUACUGGGGCAUAGCCACCUUGUUGAUUUUGACAUUGAGACUCCACUUUCUAUUUAUGAUUACAGCUUUCGAUGGAUCAUAGAGUCAUUGACACCUUGGGUUCAGUCUUCUCAACAUAUUUGGUCCGAUUUGGAUAUUCACUUUCCUUUGUUACACACCCAUACAUCCUACAUUGGACACCAUUAUACCUGCACCCAUCUUAUCAGAGCCUUACAUCUUUUGAGCCCACAUAUUUCAUCGUCUUACAUGACCUUAUCCCAUUCUCUUUAUCAGAGGAAGAUACAGACUAGUCUUGAGCUUUCUGGUUGAGUUUUCACAUGCCUUUGGACAUUAGGUUCAACAUCUCCCAUGAUGGUAGGGCCUAUUAGAUUGUUGAUGCACUUGUGAUGAUGUACUCAUAUUGAUAGUUGACAUGUCGUGUUUUGAUUUGCUUACAUUUCAGACCUAGAGUUUUGGUCAGCAUUUGUUUAAUCCAUUAUUUUAGUUUUGCUUUGUCAGCAUAGUUUCGAUGAUGCUUGGACUUGUUUUAGCAUUUGUUCAUUGAGGCUCUGUAUAUGUUUUUUCAUUGCAUCAUCAUUGGGCAUAUCCCAGAGUGUCUUGUUUGGUGACAUUCUAUGUCUUAUGUUGGUUACUAUCUUACAUUGGGGCAUACCCCCAUCCUUGAGUUCAUCAGACCUUUUGAGGACUUUCUCACUACUCAGUCUAUUUCUUGAUCUUUAUGGGUCGUCACACUGGGGCAUACCCCCAUCCUUGAGUUCAUCAGACCUUUUGAGGACUUUCUCACUACUCAGUCUAUUUCUUGAUCUUUGCGAGUCGUCAUACUAGGGCAUACCCCUUUAGCGCUUUUCUACUGGGGCAUUCCCCCAUCUUUGGGUUUAACACAUCUCGUGUAGGUUUCAUAGUUGUCUGACUCAUUUGUCGAUCUUUAUGAGUUAUCACAUAGGGCAUCCCCCUACUGUCAGUUUGUUUAGGGCAUCCCCCUACUGUCAUCUUGUUUAGGGCAUCCCCCUAUUGUCAUCUUGUUUAGGGCAUCCCCCUACUGUCAAUUUGUUUAGGGCAUUCCCCUACCGUCAAUUUGUUUAGGGCAUCCCCCUUCUUUCAGUUCUCACCACCGUAGAUCAGACAUCUAUGGGCUCGUUUCAGUUUUCACCACCAUAGAUUUUCGUCUGUGGGCUUUGAUUAGUUAUAUCACCACCAUAGAUCGGACAUCUAUGGGCAUUUCAGAUUUAUCACCACCAUGAACUAGCUAUCUAUGGGCAUUUCAAAUUUAUCACCACCAUGGAUUAGCUAUCUAUGGGCAUUUCAGUUAUUUCACCACCAUGGAUUUUCAUCCUUGGGCUUUCGAGAUUAUCACCACCAUGGAUCAGCUAUCUAUGGGCAUUUCAGUUAUUUUACCACCAUGGAUUUUCAUCCUUGGGCUUUCGAGAUUAUCACCACCCUAGAUUUUUAUCUGUGGGCCUUUGAGAGUUUCACCACCAUAGAUUGGCAUCUAUGGGCAUUUUUAUUGUAUCACCACCGUAGGUCUUCACCUAUAGGCUUUCUAGUUUAGUGUUUAGGUUUAGUUUUUUUGGUUUAGCUUCCAGAGCUAUUAUUUUUCUUAGUUUAGUGUUUAGAGUCAGUCUUGUCAUUCAGAGUCACAGCUCCUAGCGUUCAUAUUCACUGGCAUUGCACAUCUUACCCUCAUGGUUUUGCAUUCGUCAUCGGUUUUUCUCACUUCGUUACCCGGUGCUUAUCGCAUAUUCAUCUCGGAGUCCACAUAGGGCAAUCUCCUUUGGACACAUUCUUGUUCGUACUCCAGGGCGGUUCGACCGUUACUCAUAUUUAACAUCGAUCUUCGAGUCACUUUUGGAGACAUCUUAGAGGGAGCAUGGAUCCUUAGUGUGGCUUCAGAGGCAUUUUGAGACAUCUUUCUCUUUUAGGAUUAGAGACUUUGUGUUCGUCUACUAGCCUGAGUGAGUUUGCAUUUCACUAGUAUCCCUAUGGGGGUCUCCUUGGUUCUUCGGUAGAAUUCACUUCAUUCCACUCACUAUUCACACUUGCUUUUCACUCCAGUGUUCAUAUUCCUUACACUCGUGAGCUCUACCGAAGAGGGACAUAUUUGUAGACCCCCAUAUGGGGCUUGUUUUUUUUCAUUUGCUGCAGGUCACACUUCUUGCCAAGUGGAGGGCUCUUAAAGAGCCAGAUGCUGCUUCCUGGUUGGGUGGUCAGUGAAUCAGGUAGUAGGUUGGAAAUGCAAUGGGGUGUAGACACCUGUUGGAGGAUAUUCAGAAGAGCUUUUGGGCUGUUAGAGUGGAGUUGGAUGAUAGGAAGGUGAUCCAAGAAGGGGGAAACAGAGAAGAAGAGAGAGGGGAGUUUAGCUUGAGAGGAGAGUUUGGCUGGAGAGGACUGGUGGGAAGGAGGCAUUCCUUGGUUGGUUGCUUGAGAGGAAGGAGAGCUGUCCGAUUUCUUGCCCACCUAGCUGGAAAGAGUUAUUUUGAGGUACGUUUAUUGUGUAUUCUUCGUCAGCUUCUAUUGGUGUGCUUUUCUACUUUGUUUUUGCUGAUUCUCGGAUGAUGAUUGUUGAUUGGGAGUGAAUACGUUCAUAUUUUUACUAAUGGUUUUGUAGUGGUUUAGUUUGCUCUGGUUUUGAUUUCUCCAUGAGAUAUUUUUGUAACCACGUUUUACCUUUCAUUUGACACUCGUUUAAUCUUACCCACCAUCAUCUAAGCCUGUUGGUAUGAUAUGAAGCAUAGCUUGUCGGGCUCAUUUUCUUGUAUCUACUCUUUGUGCUCUGUUUUGUUAUCCUCCUCUGCUUUUGAUAUCCAUCCAUGGUAUGCAUCCAUUUUCUCAUCCUUACUUGAAGGAGAUCCUAGAAAAUCUGGAGUAGUUGUCAUGGCAGCAAAGCUCACCUCAUCAGCAUCCCCAUACCCAUUCUCGUUUAUUAUUCAUCGUUUUAUCCAACAUGCCUACGUCCCCAUCCAUCACUCCACUCAUAUUCCCGUUUAUCUUCAUCAUGCAUAAACCCCCACGCAUCUCAUACCGGGAGGUGAUGUCUCAAGAUGAUAUAGGAAGCUAGUAUUUGAAUUUGUGGAAAGAAGGGCGGAUUUAGUGGUCUCAUGGGAAUACUAUGGCAUGAGGGUGGUGGUUCUAUGCUGAAGAGAUGGUGGACAAUGGUGGAUGUUUCUGGUCUGUCUGUGUUACAAAUCAAGACUUUGGUCUAACAGUGAGGAGAACCAGAGGGACGCAGUGCAUGGAUGAUAUUAAAGAGACUGAUGAUCUUUUUAGACAGCUGAAAGAGCCAGGGAAUUCAUAUGAUAUGGUACAUUCGGGCAAUGUAAGCUUUAGAGUAGAUGCAGUCCGUGUUACUAAGUCAAUUUCGUCACCUCUCAAGGACCCAUUGAUAGAAGUGCACCUAACUUAUAAGUCUCAGGCCUUCCCAUUCGAAAAUCAUGUUGUAGCCAAUAACAGGGCAUCGGGUCAGAUUUCUAAGAAGCUGAAUGUUUAAAUAUCCGGUGUUAAUGAUAUUAUCAUAUGGGUAAAUCACUCUUCAACUCAAUAUCCGGAUGCCAACUAUGAUGCUGUCAAGACCCCUAACUGGUAAAAAGCCUGUGUGAAGGCUUGUGAAUGGUAGAAUGAAGAAUUAAUCACUACCAUAUUCUCACCCUUCAUGCCCGUUUAACCAUACCACCAAACCCGUUUCUCUCUCUAAACCUUCACCUACCUGUAGGAUCCUCCCUAAAAAAAUGCCACGUGGCUCUCUCUCCCUUGCGCAUGCAGACGGUCCCCUUUGCGACGCGCGGCAUAGCUCAUUCCAACCUGGGAAGAAUUCUGUCCGGCCGACAUUCAACCUUCUUUGGAUGUCUCACAUCCGAAAUUCUGUCCGGCUGACGUUCCACCUUCUCCGGAUGUAUCACAUUCGGAAUCCUGUCUGGCCGACGUUCCACCUUCUCCUGAUGUCUCACAUCCGAAAUUUUGUCCGGCCAACGUUCUACCUUACUCGGAUGUCUCACAUCUGGAAUUCUUCUCUACCGACAUUCCACCCAGGUAUCUCACAUUCGGAAUUCUUCUCCGCCGACAUUCCACCCGGAUGUCUCACAUCCAGAAUUUUUCUCCGUCGACAUUCCACCCGGAUAUCUCACAUUCGGAAUUCUGUCCGGCCGACGUUCCACCUUCUCCGGAUAUUUCGCAGCCGGCGCCUGUUGCCGGGUGAGAGAGGAGGACGAUUCAACUUCACCGGACAGACAUGUCCGGAUCCUCUAGUGACGCUUACCCGGACAGCUUGGCUCGUCAGACACUCGCGAUUCACCGAAUCUAUUUCCGCCCACAAUCAAAAGGCAAACUCCGAUAAUACCGACGACCAAGUCUCCUGAACUGUCACUCAUCUUUAAUGCAAGAUAGAUUGGGCUUUGGUGGGGCCCCACACGCGUGAUUUUAUGAUCGAUUGGUGGAUUGAUUGAUUUGAUUGCUAUAUGUGAUUGAUUUACACUAUUCUAUGAUACACACACGAUUAUCCUGUGUUUAAUUGCUAACAUUUGUUUUCAUCGAAGUAAAUCGGUUCAUCACCUAAGUACAUUCUUUGUCUCUCCUAUUCAUUCAGUUAUUUUGUUUCUGGUGAUAUUCAUUUGGUAUCCAUGCUCGAUUAAUCAAUUGCCAUGAUUGCUUCAUUUUAUUAGUAGAGACCCGUUUUAGGGACUUAGAGGGUUGCUACGGUCUUUACCGUACCUUCCCGAUAAGUAACCUAACCCCCGAACCCGAUCCGAUUUUUCGUAGACCACCUUUUCCAAACUAAGGAGUCACACUUAGGGUUUUUUUCUUUCUUAUUUUGUUUACCCUUUAAAAAUAAAACAAAAAUAAGUGGUGACUCCAAGUCAUUUUUUUUAACCGAUUAAAUCAUUUUUCAAAAUAAAAAUCGAGCUCGCCAUCGAGUGGGGAACGCAUGAGCCGAAAUGCAGGGUCCACAACAUUAUACUUGGAAACUUAUGAUCUAUUUUUUCUAUUUUAAAUGUAAUUAAUAAUAUAAAAAUUUAAUAUAUUUAUGAUAACUUUAACAAAAUUAAUUUAUUUGUAAAAAUUUAUUAAUUUUUACUAUUUUACAUAUAUAUAUAUAUACACACUAGUAGAAAGCACAUGUGUUGCACGUGAAGAUUUAUGUAGGUAUGCGAUUGUUGAUAUAUGAAAUUAAUGAAAUUACAUUGUACUUGUAGGAAAAUAGAUCAAAUAUAAUAUUAUUGUAGACAUAUUUGUGUCAUAAUCUAUACAUUUUGUAAUCCAUCAUUAUUGUGAUGUAUCAUUUAAGAAAAUUAACUUAGUUGUUUUCUUACAAAAGUUUGGAGGAAUUAUGAUCAUUAACUACUUGUUUGUCUUUGCAGUAGUCUGCACUAUAGUCUUUUUUUUUUCCUCAUGCAGAAAAGUUACACAUAUUUGAAAAUGUAUUAGUUGAAAUAGAAAAAUAAUGUUUCAAAAAAAUAUAUGGGCAAAAUAUUUCAACAUAAGCUAAUGGUACAUUACCUUAUAUUAUUUUUUGGGGUUUUUUUUUUUUUUUGCUCAUUUUUCUCUCAAUGUUUAUAAAUUUGCAUUGAAGAAAUAAGUUUUAUUAUUUUUAAAUUCAAUUUAGAAAAUGGUAAUAUUGUGAAAGUUACAUUCAUUUAUAAUGAUACCAACAUAUACUUACCUCAAUAAUAUAAAAUUAUUCUCUUUGAUGUUUCUUUUUCCAGAAAUGAGUUGGAAAUAAGAUAAGUUUUGUUUAUAAAAUUUCAAUUUAAUUAUUUUGGGCAAAAGUAUAUAAUAUAUUGGACAUACCUGUUAAGAAAGUUGACAUCCUAUGGUCUUUUUGAUGAGUUUGUUUAAUAAGUUUCACCUAACUAAGAAUAGUAUAAAGAUAAAUUUAUGUGUAAUUCUAUUAAUAUUGUUAUAUUAUCGAUAAAAAGAUACGUACCUGUGGACCCCACAUUUCGGGUCAUGCAUUUUCCACUCGAUGGCGAGCUCGAUUUUUAUUUGAAAAUGAUUUUAUUAUUUAAAAAAAAUGACUUGGAGUCGCCACUUAUUUUUGUUUUAGUUUUAAAAGGGUAAACAAAAUAAGAAAGAAACCCUAAGUAUGACUCCUUAUUUUGGAAAAGGUGGUCUAUGAAAAAUCAGAUUAGGCUCGGGGGUCGGGUUACUUAUCGGGAAGGUACGGUAAAGACCAUAACACCCCUCUAAGUCCCUAAAGUCGAGUCUCUACUAAUAAAAUGAAACUGACGUGACAAUCAAUAGCAAAAUUAAUGGAUACUCAAAUCGGUCAUGCACAUAUGGGAAUCAAAACAUGUAUAGAGAAUGACUAGAAUGGGAGUGGAUGGGUACCUGGGCCAUGAACGAGCAAUGCGCUAUCAUAAAAAUGGGGUCAAUGUACAAUAAAUAGCACAAAACAUAUCACAUGCAUCACCAAACAUAAAUUAAAACUGCUCGAGGGAAAAUUGGAUUUUUGAAAUUUAUUUGAAAAUUGGAGUUUUAGAGAUUAUUUGAAAAUUUGAGUUUUGGAGAUUAUUUGAAAAUUGGAUUUUUAGAAAUUAAAUGUAGGAAUGAGAAUUUUAGAAAUUAAAUUUGAAAGAAAUCAGAAUUUUGAAAAUUAUUUGAGAGUUUGGGAUUUUUUAAAAAUUAAAUUAUGAAAUUGGGGUUUUUGGAAAUUAAAUUUUAAAAGAAAUCAGAAUUGAAAAUUAUUUUAGAAGUAGAAACUAUGAAAAUUGAAUUAUAAAAAUUGGAAAUCUUAGAAAUCAUUCGAAGGUAGAAUUUUUAGAAGUAAAUUAAUAAAAUGAUAAUAAUAAUGAUAAUAAUAAGUAAGUAAUGAAAUAAAUGCGAGAAUUAGAAUAUUAGAAAUUGAAAAUUAAGUUCGGAAAUUGAAAAAUUGGAAUUUCAAAAAACUAAAUUUGGAAAUCGGAAUUUUGAAGAAUUAUUUAAGGACAUAAUUUUAAAUAAAUGAAUAAGUGAAUAAAUAAAUGAAUGGAAUAAUAAUAAUGACGAAGUAAUAAUGAUUGGAUGAAUAAUUGAGGAAGUUAGGAUUUCGGAAAUUGAAAAUUGAACUUAGGGAUUGGAAAUUUAAAGAAUUAUUUAGGGAUGAAAUUUUAAAUAUAUGAAUAAGUGAAUAAAUAAAUGAAUGAGAUAAUAAUAACGAAAAUAAUCAUUAAACAACAAAAUGUGAAUAGUGGAAUUUUUUAAAUUGAAAAUUAAAUUUGGAAAAUGGAAUUUUGAAAAUUUGAACUUUAAUGAUUGGAAUUUUUAAAAGAAAUAAAUAGAAUAAUAAUAAUAACAACGAAAGCAAUAUUUAAACGAAUGAACGCGAAUAGUGGAUUUUUUGAAAUUUGAAAAAUUCUUUAAAGAGGGAAUUUUUAGAAUAAACAAACAAAUAAAUAAAUGGAAUAAUAGUAAUAACGAGAAUAAUAAUGAUUAGAUAUAAUAAUUGUGAAAAUUGGAAAGUGAAUUUAGAAAUUGGAAAAUUGAAGAAUUAUUUAAAGAUGGAAUGUCGGAAAAUUAAAUAUUGAAAGCUGGAAACCCGAAAAAUUAUUUUAAGGCUAGAAUGUUGGAAAAUUAAAAUUUGAAAACUGGAAACCCAAAAAAAAUUAUUUUAAGGAUGGAAUGUCGGAAAAUUAAAUUUCAAAAACUAGAAACCCGAAAAAUUAUUUUGAGGAUGGAAUGUCGAAAAAUUAAAUCUUGAAAAUUUUGUUUUGAUAUCAAAAUGUGAAGAAAUAAUAAAAAGAAAUAUGAAUUAUGGUGAUCUUCACGUGCACGUCUCCAGUAUAAUGGCCAUAAACCCAUUUUAUAUAUUCUUUUCCACCACCUGAGCAAACAGCUUUUGCAUGAAGAUUGACGAGUGGGUGUGGAGGUUGGUAUGGCCAUGCAUGCGUGAGGAUGUGUUGGACGGAUAUGAAGGUUGGUGUGGCCAUGCAUGCGUGAGGAUUUUAAGGAUGGAAUUAAAUUUCGAAAACUGGAAACCCGAAAAAUUAAUUUUAAGGAUGGAAUGUCGGAAAAUUAAAUUUUGAAAACUGGAAACCCGAAAAAAUUUAUUUUAAGGAUGGAAUAUCGGAAAAUUAAAUUUCGAAAGCUGAAAACCCGAAAAAUUAUUUCAAGGAUGGAAUGUCGGAAAUAUAAAUUUCGAAAACUGGAAACCCAAAAAAUUAAUUUAAGGAUGGAAUGUCGGAAAAUUAAAUUUCGAAAACCGGAAACCCGAAAAAUUAUUUUGAGGAUGGAACGUCGAAAAAUUAAAUUUCAAAAACUGGAAACCCGAAAAAUUAAUUUAAGGAUGGAAUGUCAGAAAUAUAAAUUUCGAAAACUGGAAGCCCGAAAAAUUAAUUUAAGGAUGGAAUGUCGAAAAAUUAAAUUUCGAAAACUGGAUGGAAUAUCAGAAAAUUAAAUUUCGAACGCUGGAAACCCGAAAAAAUUAUUUUAAGGAUGGAAUGUGGGAAAUAUAAAUUUCGAAAACUAGAAACCCGAAAAAUUAUUUUAAGGACGGAAUGUCGGAAAAUUAAAUUUCGAAAACUGGAAAGCUGAAAAAUUAUUUUGAGGAUGGAAUGUCGAAAAAUUGAAUCUUGAAAAUUUUGUUUUAUAUCAAAAUGUGAAUAAAUAAUAAAAAGAAAUAUGGAUUGUGAUGAUCUUCAAGUGCACGUCUCCAGUGUAAUGGCCAUAAACCCAUUUUAUAUAUUCUUUUCCACCACCUGAACAAACAGCUUUUGCAUGAAGAUUGAUGAGUGGGUAUUGAAAAAUGAUGACAUGGGCAAGGUAAUGGAGUCAGCCACUAGCAGGAAAUAAAUAAAAAAUAAAAAUCCUACAGACCCAUUUAAUUCGACAUCAAACCAGAAAGCAAAACCAUGCAGUGGAGCUCACAUCAACUGUAUCACUCUUUCUUAUCAAACUUCUUUCGAAUAUAUCUAGGAAUUCUCUUUGGAAUUCCCAUUACCUCAGAAGGAAACAGAAUUCUAGAUGAGUUGUGACCCUAGUAGUAACCAUAUCUGGCUAAAAAAAAACCCAAAGACCGUUCUUUGGUCUUGGUCCAGAUGAUAUCUUCAAUUCCAAGAAACAAAACUCCCUCGGUUGGUCUGGAUUCCCUUACAGGAACUUGGGAAGCAUUCCGACAACAUGGAGAUGACAGUUGUUCAGUUAUACCAUUAUUUGUCACCUUGUUUUUUUUUUUUUUUUUUUUCAGCAAGCUUAACGUCUUUUCCAGUUCACUAACAUGUCUAGGAUGAUAUACUGGUAUUAGACAAUUUGAUAUAUCCGAAAUGACCUUCACAUUGUCCAGGUUCGAUGCAAUACUAAUUUCCUGUCUCAUAGCCAACCCAAACAUGAUACCCAACAUUCCAAAAGUGCACGAAACAGAGGAAGUGAAGAAAAACAGAGCAUAUACAAACGAAAAAGAUAGGAUUGAACUCGGCUCCAUUUCAUAAAGAUCAAUGGGCUGGAUACAGGUGCCAUAGGAAGGAAGCAAAAAAAAAAUGAUUUUGAUACAUCAAGCUCAGGGGAGAAAACAAAGCAUCAGGCAUUGACAAGAAAGAUAGAAAAAAAAAACACCAGAAACAAAACCAAAACAGAGAAUGCAUACAAAGGAUAGAUCCCUCAAAGCAAACAAGUGGCCUAGUAGUCAUACCUGUUGAGAAAAUUUGGAUACAAUGGAGAAAGGAAACACUCUCACACACUCACUUUGAUACAAUAAAACUCUCAAAGAUACAAAAUAAGAACAAGAAGAAGAAGAACACAAGAAAGGCUCAAACAAGUUCUUGGAACUUUGUCCAAAGACUCUAUUUCCUCCCACCUCUAGAAAUCUUUUUGGGAACUAAAAGGAAAUAGUCUUGGGAUUGAUCAAGCCUUUUCACUUUUCUGCAUAAGAUUUCAAAAAGAAGAAAAGUCAUAUAUAUAGCACUCUUAGGGUUGAAAAAAGGUUACAAGGAUGAGAAAAAACCCAUUGUCUUCCUCAAUCUCUUCAUCUUUGUAACAUUCAAAAUUAAAUCAUAUGUUUAAUUCACACAUUAAACAUGAUUUAAUCUCAAAUGUGUAACUCUCUUACACUUAACCUCUUAAGUUUAUAAAGUUACAAAGAUGAGAAGACUCAUUGUCUUCCUCAACCUUUCAAGUUUUGUAACAUUUCAAAACUUAAUCAUGUGUUUAAUUCACACAUUAAAAGUGUAACCCUUCUUACACUUUAUUUUCCAAAAGUUAUUUUCAAAAGUGUAACUCUUCUUACACUUUAUUUUUAACCAACAAUAUAUAUAUAUUUAUAUAAAUAUAACAAUCCCCCACUUGGUUAAAAAUAAACAUAAACCCUUAUAACCUUAACAGUGAAAAUGCAUAAAAUAAAAUAUCUUUCAAUUUGAAUUUUACCUUAGUGUAAUUGUCACAAAGCUCCGUUGAAAUCCCAGGUUGCUUGUAGCAUUGAACCAGUUAUUCCUUGUAACGAAACCGGUAACAACACACACACUUCCACUAACCACACGAGUGCCCAUUAUUUUCUUGCUUAGCACUUUUAUGGCCAUGUGCUCAAUCCAUUCAUGAACUUUCUUGAAAGAAACUCCAACUCUCAUGAGAGGCGGCACCACCCCUAAGUUCACAUAGGUGAAAUUUUUCCAGCAUUCUUGUUACUUUUAAGAUGCUUGUCACACAUAGACUGAAUUUCAUUAAAAGCUUUAAGCUUAACCCUCCAACGGUAACAACCAGCAUUAAUCAUCACAGAUGGAACUCACAUGUUCUAAUGCUGUCACAACCCACUUAUCAAUGACUUGUUUUUACCCAUUGAACUUAAGACUAGUCAUUUCGUAGUAUUAAGUUGGGUUACCAUCAUUGGUGAGUUUUAUUUAAGGAGUUUUAGUCCCAUCCCUCUAGAUGUUAUCCUUACUAAAUCUCUUGUAAGAGGUUUAGUAAAAGGAUCCGCCAAGUUUCCACUUGACCUCACAAAUGAGAUUGAGAUGAUUCCAUUUUGAAUCAAUUGUCUUACAUACUCAUGUCUAAUGCUUAUAUGUCUAGACUUCCCAUUGUACACUCCACUGUACGCACGAGCUAGAGUGGCUUGACUGUCACAAUGUAUCGACACUGUUGACACAUUAUUUGCAGUAAAAGGGAUGUCCAUCAUGAGAUCCCUAAGCCACUCAAGUUCUAUUCCAGUUGCAGCUAGAGCUAUAAACUCUGCCUCCAUGGCUGAGUGUGAUAUGCAAGUUUGUUUCUUGGAUCCCCAAGAGACAGCCCCACCACCAAGUGUAAACACCCAACCUGUGGUAGAUAAAUUAUCUCCCACACUCGAUAUCCAGCUUGCAUCUGAAUACCCUUCAAUUAUAGCAGGAAACUUUGAAUAUUGGAGGCUUAGUUCUUUGGUAUUCUUUAGGUAACCAAGAACUCUACCAAUAGCUUUCCAAUGUUCCACACUUGGAUUGCUAGUAAACCUACUUAGUUUACUAACUGCAAAUGAAAUGUCAGCCCUAGUACACUGAGCAGCAUACAUAAGACUUCCAAUUGCACUUGCAUACUCAAGUUGAGCCACCGAUCUACCAUCAUUCUUUUCAAGUUUUAUACUUGAAUCAAAUGGAGUAUUAGCAUCUUUAAUCUUGAGAUGACUAAAUUUGCUAACUACUUUCUCAAUAUAGUGGGUUUGGUUCAAAGCAUAACCCCCACUAUUUCUUUUCACUUUGAUACCCAAUAUAGUAUCAACUUCUCCAAGAUCUUUCAUCUUGAAGGUUGGGGAUAGAAACCUUUUCAUUUCUAUUAUUCCUUUCAUGUCAUCACUCAAGAUUAACAUGUCAUCCACAUAUAGACACACUAUGACCAUAUAGUCAUCACAAGUCUUAGAAUAUAAGCACUUGUUCACAUUGUUGUGUCUAAAUCCAUCCGAAAGAAUAGCAUGAUCAAAUUUUUCGUGCCAUUGUUUGGGAGCUUGUUUUAAACCAUAUAAUGAUUUGACAAGCUUACACACUUUGUUUUCAUUCCCCAGUAGAAUAAAACCUUCAGGUUGUUCCAUGUAGACCUCCUCAUUGAGAUCCCCAUUCAAGAAUGCCGUUUUGACAUCCAUUUGAUGAACAAAUAGAUCAUGAAUUGAUGCCAAAGCAAACAAUAUCCUAAUCGAUGUUGUUCUAGCCACCGGCGCAUAGGUAUCAAAAUAAUCAAUACCUUCUCUUUGUUUAAACCCCUUAGCUACUAAUCUAGCCUUAAAGGUUUGAAUCAUGCCAUCGGUGUGAUAUUUCCUUCAAAAUACCCACUUGCACCCUAUUGGUUUAGAUCCUGGUGGAAGGUCUACCAAUUCCCAUGUUUGGUUGGACAUAAUUGAAUCCAUUUCAUCAUUGAUAGCCUCUUUCCAAAAAGCAACAUCUCUAGAAGCCAUAGCUUCUUUGUAUGUUUUGGGAUCCUCCUCUAUUUGAAGUACUAUAGGAAUUUUUCUUAUAAUAUCUUCUCUAUUUCCUUCUACUAAGUAAAAGGAAAUUAUUUGAGAGUCAAUCUCAUCCGAUCCCAACACUUUCUCUUUUCUAGCUCUUUGGCUUUUCCAAGGCACAAUGGGUUGCUCAACAACCUUUGAAGGUGUCUCCUCUGGAGACUCUCCAACACUAGUAGGUACUUGAGAAUUGCUAUCACUCAACAAAUUCUCAAAGAACUCUACCUCUCUUGAUUCAAUUAUCACAUUAGACUCCAAGUCUAAUAGCCUAUAAGCUUUGCUAUUUGAGGCAUAGCCUACAAAUGCACACUUAACGGCUCUUGGACCCAAUUUUGAUUUAUUUGGAUCCGUUUUCUUGCAAUAAGCAAGACACCCCCACACUUUGAAGUAACCUAUAUUAGGCUUCCUUCCUUUCCAUAACUCAUAUGGAGAUAUCUCUUUUUUCUUCAUAGGAAUUCUAUUCAAAAUAUGGCAAGCAAUCAACAAAGCUUCACCCCACAAAUUGAAAUUCAAUUUAGCAUGCAAUAACAUAGCAUUCACCAUUUCCAAGAAUGUUCUAUUCUUUCUCUCCGCUAUGCCAUUGUGUUGAGGUGUAUAGGGUGCGGUGCACUCAUGUAUUAUGCCAUAUUCUUCACAAAAAGAAUUGAAUUCACUAGAGAAAUAUUCACCACCUGUAUCACUUCUAAGCACCUUAAUAUUUUUUCCUAGUUGAUUUUCAACUUCGGCUUUGUAAACUUUAAAGGCAUUGAAAGUUUCACUUUUGUUUUUCAACAAAAACACAUAGGUAAAUCUAGAACAAUCAUCUAUGAAUGUAAGAAAAUACCUAUUUCCACCUCUUGUUAACAUGCCAUUAAGUUCACAAAGAUCACUAUGUACUAAAUCAAGCAAAUUAGAUGAUCUCUCAACACUAUGAAAAGGCUUUUUAAUCAUCUUUGAUUUAACACAUAUUUCACAUUUUUCAAAUUUCUUGGUAUCACAAGCAAUCAAACCACAUUUCACAAUCCUUUUAAUAGUGCUUAAACCAACAUGUGCAAGCCUAUUAUGCCACAAAAAUAAAGAAUUUGAAUCACACAUAUAAGCGGAAGUAGAAGCCAUUUUAAUGAUAUUGUCAUUGGUACAAAGUUUGAUCAUCCCAUCACAAGAAUACCCCUUUCCCACAAAGUUCCCCGAUUUGGAUAAAAUUAGUUUACCGGAUUCAAACACUGCUUUGAUACCCGGUUUGCCAAGCAAAUCCCCACUAACCAAAUUUUUAUUCAUAUCGGGGACAUACAAUACAUUUAUAAGGGUAACCCUUUUUCCGGAGGUAAAAGCAACUUCAAUAGUGCCCUUGCCAAGCACUUUGGAUCUUCCUUCAUUGCCCAUUUGAACCUCUUGAUCUCCCUUUGCAUCUUCAAAGGUCUUGAAAAGAGAUUUGUCAUAGGUAACAUGAACUGUGGCACAAGUAUCAUACCACCAUCCUUGCACCUUUCCUUGGACAACGCACACAUCGCUUAGUGUUGUAAUGAUCUCCUCAUCAAUUGCAUUCACCACAGCCCCUUUUUGGUCAUUUCGGUACCUACACUCCCUAGCAUAAUGCCUGGGUUUUCCACACACAAAACAAGGACCUUUCUUGCCCUUAAAUUGCUCUUGAUUUUUCUUGGGGCUCAUAUAAUUUCCGGAAUUCCUUUUGUUAUUUUUACCUCUAGGAUGAUUGGCCUUUGAAACCGCAUUGGUUUUGUUAGUCCCACCAUUGGACUCUUCCACCAUUUUGUCUCUUGAUCUCGAUUCUUCCUCAAUGCGAAGAUGUUUUUGAAUCUCUUCCAAGGAGUAAUCUUCACUCUUGUGGAGAAUCCUCUUCCGGUAACCUUUCCAACUUGAUGGUAAUUUAGCCACAAUAGAACCAACUUGGAAGGCCUCCGGAAGUUCAAUUUUGAGAACUUUCAACUUAUUCACAAUACUUGCAACUCAUGAAUUUGUGGUAGAGAGGCUUUUCAUCAAAAAAUUNNNNNNNNNNNNNNNNNNNNNNNNNNNNNNNNNNNNNNNNNNNNNNNNNNNNNNNNNNNNNNNNNNNNNNNNNNNNNNNNNNNNNNNNNNNNNNNNNNNNNNNNNNNNNNNNNNNNNNNNNNNNNNNNNNNNNNNNNNNNNNNNNNNNNNNNNNNNNNNNNNNNNNNNNNNNNNNNNNNNNNNNNNNNNNNNNNNNNNNNNNNNNNNNNNNNNNNNNNNNNNNNNNNNNNNNNNNNNNNNNNNNNNNNNNNNNNNNNNNNNNNNNNNNNNNNNNNNNNNNNNNNNNNNUUGAUUGUUGAGAAAAUUUGGAUACAAUGGAGAAAGGAAACACUCUCACACACUCACUUUGAUACAAUAAAACUCUCAAAGAUACAAAAUAAGAACAAGAAGAAGAAGAACACAAGAAAGGCUCAAACAAGUUCUUGGAACUUUGUCUAAAGACUCUAUUUCCUCCCACCUCUAGAAAUCUUUUUGGGAACUAAAAGGAAAUAGUCUUGGGAUUGAUCAAGCCUUUUCACUUUUCUGCAUAAGAUUUCAAAAAGAAGAAAAGUCAUAUAUAUAGUACUCUUAGGGUUGAAAAAAGGUUACAAGGAUGAAAAAAAACCCAUUGUCUUCCUCAAUCUCUUCAUCUUUGUAACAUCAAAAUUAAAUCAUAUGUUUAAUUCACACAUUAAACAUGAUUUAAUCUCAAAUGUGUAACUCUCUUACACUUAACCUCUUAAGUUUAUAAAGUUACAAAGAUGAGAAGACUCAUUGUUUUCCUCAACCUCUUCAUCUUUGUAACAUUCAAAAUUAAGUCAUAUGUUUAAUUCACACAUUAAACAUGAUUUAAUCUCAAAUGUGUAACUCUCUUACACUUAACCUCUUAAGUUUAUAAAGUUACAAAGAUGAGAAGACUCAUUGUCUUCCUCAACCUUUCAAGUUUUGUAACAUUUCAAAACUUAAUCAUGUGUUUAAUUCACACAUUAAAAGUGUAACCCUUCUUACACUUUAUUUUCCAAAAGUUAUUUUCAAAAGUGUAACUCUUCUUACACUUUAUUUUUAACCAACAAUAUAUAUAUAUUUAUAUAAACAUAACAAUACCUGGAUGUUUUCCUCAAGCCAAAAGUUUCCUGGCCACCCGCUCUACUCUCCUCCUUUCCCUCUCCUGCUUCAGCCAAAGAACCCCUCUUUUAGAAAGAAUCCCCUCACCUCCAAAUCUCCCCUGUUUCCCCGUCUUCCUUAGCAAGCCACUACCUGCUCUCAUGUGCACCAUUCCGCCAAUGCGUCAUCCUCACCCACCACCAUGGGCGAGCCGUGCUCUUGGCCACCUGUCCAUGCAGCUUCUUCAUGGCAAAAAAGGCCCCCCCCCCUCUCAUCUCAAAAAAAUGAAUGGAAAAUCCCUCAAAGCAAACAAGUGGCCUAGUAGUCAUACUUGGAUGUUUUCUUCAAGCCAAAAGUUUCUUGGCCACCCGCUCUGCUCUCCUCCCUUCCCUCUCUUGCUUCAACCAAAGAACCCCUCUUUCAGAAAGAAUCCCCUCACCUCCAAAUCUCCCCUGUUUCCCCGUCUUCCUUAGCAAGCCACUACCUGCUCUCAUGUGCACCAUUCCGCCACUGCGUCAUCCUCACCCACGACUUCCGCCACUGCGUCAUCCUCGCCCACCACCAUGGGCAAGCCGUGCUCUUGGCCACCUGUCCAUGCAGCUUCUUCAUGGCAGAAAAGGGGUCCCCCCUCAUCUCAAAAAAAUGAAUGGAAAAUUCCCCCCCCCCCCCCCCCUCCCCCCGGGUGGUCCCAAACAAAUGACCUUGGUCUUUUAAGGGGUUUACAGUACCAUAGUCAAAUCAAACUCAAAAGAUGUAGUAAUUCUUAAUUAAUCUAAAAAUAUGAAAUUAGAGUUAUUAUAAAUGAUAAAAUUAAUUAAUUUGUAGAAGUUUACAAAAUGAACCAUUGUUUCUUUUAUUUUGUCAAAAUGUUUUUUACCAUCAUCCAUAGAGUUGGCGGAUCAACUUUGACUAUAGCACCCCAUUUUGGACUAUAGAGUUGUAGCUUCAACUAAGAUUAGUUUGAUUAGGUUAGUAAUUAAUAUGAAUUAAAAACUUAAUAUUUGAAUAUUAUGUGUAAGAUGUAAUCCCUUGUUUUUAGUCAUUGAUGGUACUUGUCCUUUUAUUGCAUGAAAACAAAUCUGAAUUGGAAAUGUUAAAGUGGAGUGUAAAUAAAUAGAAAUAUGAUCAUAAUUUAUGUUGUUGAACAUAGAUAACAUGGCGACACCGUUAAGUAGAUAAACUAAAAGAUAACAAUAUAAUAAGAAUUCUAACAUUAUUCGUUAUCAAAUAUUUUUUAUGAUUUUCUAUCCCUUGAUUCUGAAAAUAAAAACGUAGAUAAGGUAAAAAGCAACAAAUAGUAAAAAAAUAUAAAAGCAAGAAAAUGAUAAACAAUGAAAUAAAUAAGUUAAAAAUGACAAACCGUGAAAUAGAUAAGUUAGUUAUUGUAAAAUUCUUUGACAAAUGAUUUAUAAAAUAUGUAUUUUUUUUUUGGGUUAUCGCAUGAAAAAAUUAUUUAAAUUAUAUGUUAUUUUACUGAUAAAAGGUAAUUUCAUUAAAUAUUUACUGUUUCAUCGAAUUCUUUUAUUGAAUUAUUUUGUAUUGGGUUCUUUAAAUGUUGUUUCAUACAUAGAUAUGUGGUUAUUCAUGCCCACGUUGUUUUCUAAAGUGUUUGAUUUUUAAUUAUAAGUGUAUAAUAAUUUUCGUGGAAUAAUCUUUAAAAAUUAAAUAAAAAUAAAAAUAUAUAAUAAAAAAACAUAUUAUUUUAUAUUUUUAAGAAUUAUAGAAACUAUCCUUUAUUUCCUAUUGUUAAAAUUGCUUUCAAACGUAGCCUCACUACCGCAAAUUUCUUACACCACACAACGUUGUAAAUAACAGAGGGAACACAGUUUAGUUUAGUUGGUGUAGACACAUACUUUGUUGCAGCUUAUGAACUUGAAUAUUCUCAAGUUCUAACAAUUGUUAAAUUUAAAAUUAUGUUUUAAUAUAUAUAGAAGUCAACAUUGUGAAAAUAUUAUGAAAGAUAAUACUAUCGUUGUAAAAUUUUUAUUAAAUUUUGAAAAAAUGUAAUGCAAUUUGAAUUUUUUUUUAAAAAAAUUAUAGUUUAAUAAAAAUAUCUAUGCACAUGUAUAAGUAAUCUUGUUAAGGUAAUUUAUGAAUUUUAAAAAAUAUCCUAUUUAAAAACUAAUCUAAUUAUACUAACAGACAAUAGAUGAAUUAUCCAAAAUAAUAAAAAAAUAAAAAAUAAAAACUAACAUUUUGUUUGUUAAUGCAUAAUAAUAAUAAAAAAAGAUAUUAUCAACAAAUAAAUACCUUGAUAUGUUUAAAAUGAGCGGGAAAUUAUUUCUUCAACCAUAAUUGGUCAUCAUUUUUUAUCUCUAAAAUAUGAAAAUAGAAACAUAGAUAAGUUAAAAACCAAUAUAUGAUAAAUAAAAAAAACAAAAAAAAAACUUGAUGAUAAGAAAAUGAUAGAGGGUAAAUUAGAUAAGUUCAUUACCUAAGAUGAAAGGCCAGUUUAGUAUCAAAUUCCAUGGGAGGUUGUUAUAAGAUAUGUACAUAUAUAAUAUCAAAUGACUUAAAGUAGGAGAUAUUUAUUGAGGUUUAAUAUUAAUAUCAUGAAAAUAAAUGAAAGUCAUUAAUUUAAAAUUGAAUCAUUUUUUUAAGGGAAAGUUCUGUUUGCAGGCUGCUAUUAGGAAGAUAUAUGGUUUUGGAAACCCAUGUAAAUGAAAUAUGAAAUGUCCUUGUUAAUGGAGAAAAUAUUAUCUUUCUCAUGCACUCUUUGCUAACUCCAAUUUAUAUUCCUAGGUUGCCCCUCCAUGCCUCCAUAUCAGCAAGAAGCCCUCCAUGCCAAUGAGAGAGUGAAAUUUUUUAAAACAAAAAUCUAAAUUUGAAACCUAUGAAAAAUGACCCGACCUGACAACCAUCUCUAAUUUCCUUAAUCUGAAAUUUUCUUCUCUCUGAUUUGAGAGCAUUUCUCUUUCUCUCCCUCUCUCUCUCUCUCGGCUUCAUCACCCACAUAAUCCCAAGACCCAUGUAAAAUUUCCCAAAAAUUGUCUUAUUUGAGAGAAAAAAACCAUUAAUCCAAAACUCUAACUUGCAUGUUUCUUUCUUGUCCACAUAAAAGUGCAAUGAAAUGGAGCAUUCCAUCCUAAGAAUGUCCAAUUAAAAGACGACUUCAAGAGGCACAUCUGUGAUUGUGAAUCUACUACAGCAGCGCGUACCAAAACGGAAAGGUGGAAUCCAAAAUAUUGGCUCUGUAAACAAGAUAUCUCUUUCUAUCAUUGAGUGACAUUUUGCCCUAACCCUAAACCGAAAUCUGAAGGUAAAUUAUUUUCAUUUAUUGUUCUUUAGUUCAUUUAUUUGAAAUAGAGCACAUCAAUGUUUUGGAGUCGUUUGUGGACAUGAACUUUUGUGUUGGGUUUUGGGAACCAUAUUAUUCCUAAAUAAUCAUAUGACCCACAAGUCAUAUUGAACCAAGAUGGAACUUACAACAUAUAUGGUUGUAAGUCGCAUUGUUAUUUUGCGGAUUGUACCUUAGGUACUACCUUAAUAGCCCUUAGGUACCACCUUAACCUACCUUAGGUACUACCUUAAGCCACCUUAGGCACUACUUUAGUUAAAGUUAGGUUGUACCUAUCCAAAGCAUCGAACCUUCCUUUGUCACCCUUAGAGCAUGCCAUUAUGUGAUUCUUUUAUGUGGUCAAGUGGUUCGCCUUUGGUUUUUUGUGGAUUAUACCUUAGGUGCUACCUUAAUAGUCCUUAGGUACCACCUUAUUCUACCUUAGGUACUACCUUAAGGGACCUUAGGUACUACCUUAGUUAAAGUUGGGUUUUACCUAUUCGAUGCCUUGGACCUUCCUUUGUGACCCUUAGAUCAUGUCAUUAUGUUAUCUUUUGUGUGGGCCAGUGGUUCACCUUUGAUUUUUUAGGGACAGUACCUUAGGUACUACCUUAAUAGCCCUUAGGUACCACCUUAAUCUACCUUAGGUACUACCUUAACCGACCUUAGGUACUACCUUAGUUAAAAUUGGGUUCUACCGAUCCGAAGCCUUUGAUCUUCAUUUGUCACCCUUAGACCAUGCCUUUAUGUGAUUCUUUUGUGUGGUCAAGUGGUUCACCUUUGGUUUUUUGCAGACUGUACCUUAAGUACUACCUUAAUAGCCCUUAGGUACCACUUUAAUCUACCUUAGGUACUACCUUAAGGGACCUUAGGUACUACCUUAGUUAAAGUUGGGUUCUACCUAUCCGAAGUCUUGGACCUUCCUUUGUGACCCUUAAACCAUGCCAUUAUGUAAUUCUUUUGUGUGGGCAAGUGGUUCACCUUUGGUUUUUUGGGUACUGUACCUAAGGUACUACCUUAAUAGCCCUUAAGUACCAUCUUAAUCUACCUUAGGUACUACCUUAUGUUAAAGUUGGGUUCUACCUAUCCAAAGCCUCAGACCUUCCUUUGUGACCCUUAGACCAUGCCAUUAUUUGAUUUUUUUGUGUGGGCAAGUGGUUCACCUUUAGUUUUUUGGGGACUGUACCUUAGGCACUACCUUAAUAGCCCUUAGGUACCACUUUAAUCUACCUUAGGUACUAUCUUCAUAGCCCUUAGGUACCACCUUAAUCUACCUUAGGAACUGCCUUAACCGACCUUAGGUACUACCUUAGUUAAAGUUGGGUACUACCUAUCCGAAGCCUUUGACCUUCCUUUGUGACCCUUAGACCAUGCCAUUAUGUGAUUUUUUUGUGUGGUCAAGUGGUUCACCUUUGGUUUUUUUAGGACUGUACCUUAGGUACUACCUUGAUAGCCCUAAGGUACCACCUUAAUAUACCUUAGGUACUACCUUAACCAACCUUAGGUACUACCUUAGUUAAAGUUUGGUUCUACCUCUCCGUAGCCUCUAACCUUCCUUUGUCACCCUUAGACCAUGCUGUUAUGUGAUUCUUUUGUGUGGUCAAGUGGUUCACCUUUGGUUUUUUGCGGAAUGUACCUCAAGUACUACCUUAAUAGCCCUUAGGUACCACCUUAAUCUAACUUAGGUACUCCCUUAAGGGACCUUAGGUACUACCUUAGUUAAAAUUGGGUUCUACCUAUCUGAAGCCUUUGACCUUCAAUCCCGGACAUUACUUGUUAUAUUUUAAAUUUUCUAGUUUAUCAUGACUAUUAUUAUCCUACAAUGUGGUACACAUGUGUGAAUUAUAUACGUUUCGUACUAUAUUUUUCAAUAGUUAUGAGUUGAUUGAUUAUCAAAAAUUAACCAACAACAAUUAUGUCAUUAGACGACAAACAAGCAAACAUACUAUGUAGUGUUUCUGGGUCGUAGACAUGGAGUGUACGAUUCUUGGGCUGAAUGUUAAAAGAAUGUGCUUCUUUAUAAGGGGAGUGUUUACAAAUCAUAUACUUUUAAAGAGGAAGCUGUUUGAGCUUGGGUGUUCUAUAGACUAAGAUGGAAGAGAAGUGAUGAAUGUUCAUCAACUGGCAAACCAAAGUUUGAACUUGCAAUUGAUGAUCAACAUUUGUUACAAAAUAUUUCAUAUACAUAUGUAAUCACUUUCUUUGCUAGCUUCUUUGUAGCAUGUGUUUUGCUUAUUGUAACAUUUAGUUUAACAUAGGUUGUGGAAAUGUGUUAUGAAUAUCAAUUUCUAGUAAUCUAUUUUUCGUAGUGUUCACAGGUACAUGUGAUUAUUAUUAUCAACUUUGUUAAACUGAAAAUGCUCACUCAAACGUUUGGAGCAUAAGACAAUGUGUUCAUUAAAGGUCACAACAUUAAAGAAAUUGAGAAUUUUUGACACAUCAUAAGAUUUUGAAUAAAUUCUAGUUGAGAUGUAAAGCUAACAACUAUAUCUAUGGAAAUUACAUUUUAGCAUUUUCCAAAUUUAAAUUUAAGCUAAUAUGUACAAAUUUUAGCAUUUUCCAAAUUUACAUUUUGUCACUUAAACAUUUUGCCAUUUUGCACAAACUUAUUUAACCCAUCUUCUUCAUUCUAGUGCCUUGAUUUUCAUUAAUCCUUGGAUCAACUCAUUUGACCAAAAAUAAUUUUGUGAAAAGACAUUUCAAACAAACUUUUAAUUUAAGUAUAUUAUAUAAAUCUUAUUUAAAAUUUUUGAAUGAUUUAAUUUUUCAUUUAAAAAUAUAGUUACAAAUUUUAUUAAAAUUAAUAUUUUCAUUUGUGGGUUUAUGGACAAAAAUUUAAGAUAAUUUUAAUAGCAAGUUAGAUAAAUAUAUGUAUUGACUAAUAAGAAUUUAAGUAUUAUUUGUUUUAUUGUUUAGGGUUGAAUGUAACAUCAGAUAAAAGAAGAAAGGGGACAACUGAUUACUACUCAAAAAGUGCUAUUUUGUAGCUUGUAAUUAACUCUCUUAAACACUCUUGAGUAGUAAUUAUUACUUUUUAACUCAAUUGACAUGUUAAGGACCCUUGCAAUCAUUUCUAAUCAAAUUGUGUUAAGUUUUGGUGUUUUUGAUAGAUUUUUGCUCACCAAAGCAAUUUAAGAAUGAGGGAGAGCUGUAUAUAGUUCAUGGAAAAGCUUUUGGAAGCUCAAAUUCAUGAAGAACCAAGCUUUGAAGCUCCAUAGCCCUUUUCCAAAGUCGUUCAAAGUAUGCAAGGAAAGAACAAUGGAGAAGAGGAAAACAGAGUGAAGAAAACAGAGGACAGCAGCUGCAGUCUUCUUUCACACUUUUGGAGCACUUCCUGAAGUCCAUUUUCUACAUGAUAUAUACCAUUUCAAAUCUCAGGAAGUCAAGAAUCCAACGCUUCAAACCGUGUACGAUUUGGAGCUGAAAUGAGGAAGAUAUGGCCUUCGGAAGACAACUGCAUCAAGCUGAGGGACAAUUUUGCACCUUGCGAAAUUGGAACUCCAACGUGCGAAAUUUGAAGUGCAUGGCAGCUGUGCAUUCGCUGUGAAGCCCAACAUGCGAAAGUGAUUUUGCAACUUAAAAACUUGGAUCUCAACGUGCGAAAGUGGAUUCUAAGUUGCGAAAUCAACUUGCGAAAUUUUCGCAAGUCACCAUGCAACGUGCGAAAUCUACAUGCGAACUGGGAUAUUUGUGCACCGACCCUUUUAGAUCUUUUCUUCAGAUAUUUUUGUAUAAAUUUCCAUUCUUCUCCUUGUAAUCCACCAACCAUAAGAUUUCUUAGCUAGGAAGGUUGGAAAAACUUCUCUAUAUAUAUUCCCUUGCAUCCAUUGUAAUAGAUAUCGAUCAAUAUAUAGAUAUAUGAAUAUAUAGAAUAUACAGAGCCUUGCUCUGUUUUUCCUUCUCUUUUCAUUUUCAUUUUCUUGCUAGCCAAACAUUCUCUGAGACGUUUUCUCAGAGGAUGAGUGGCUAGGCUUUUUGUUUCUUGGGUGAAGGAAGCUAGGUGAAAAGUCCAGAUGCAAAAGUGGAAAACUCUCGUGCGUUAAAUACAGGUAGUUGGAGUUCAUAAAUGGCUUUUAAAUCUAAAGUUUUGCUUUAAAUCCCUUAGAAUCACUUUGAAUGGCCAAUACAUGGUAAGCUUCAGGUCUCUGUGGAUGCUUAUUGCUAGAUCCAUAUCAGUCCAUUAGUUAUCAUGUACGAGCCAUUGGAAAGUGAUUCAAGGUGAAGACCCAUAGUGUCUAAAGCCAUUAAUGGAACUUGACUACCAUUUCUAUUGACAUUUUUAUAGAUUAAAUCUUCAUUGUUAAACCUUUACCGGUUCGGGAAACAACCAUCCUUUAUGUUGUUGUCCCCAAUGCGAGAAGAAAAAUCUGGAAUUUCCCACUUUACAGUUGGCACCUGAUCCUAGUAACCUGAAAUCCUAAGAAACACCUUUCUUUCUAAUUUCUUUCUAGUUAAUUUUAGUUACUUUAUGUUAGGUUAGCUUAAUACCAUCCGUUUUCAUUCAAACUUAUGUCUUCUUUUAAAGCUAACCUUGAAAUGAAAAAGCACCAAUUCAUCUUUGAAUUAAUAUCAUUUGUGAAGUGAAAACCCAUCCCAGUGAACGAUCCUAGAGCCACUAUGCUAUAGUAGCUUCGUCUUUGCUACCCUAGUACAUGGUGUAAUAGGUUAUAAAUUUUGUUGAUUACUCCCUCAAUCAAGGAGCACCAGCUGGACAUGAAUCAGCUGAUACACCAAUUAGGCACGAAUCAAAUGGCGCCGUUACCGGGACAUUGGACUCUGAAUCCAGUAACCCGAGUUCAAGUCUCGGUGGAACCUCCACUCCCCCCAACCGACAUAUUGCUAGUCCCUUAGCAAUGAAGGAGAGAAAAAAUAAAAAUAAAAGUAAUAAAUUUACAAAAUCAUGCUGAUCACUCCAAAAAAUGUUUAAGUGGCAUGACUGAUCAAACUCUCACAUGGAACAUGAAAGAAAUAAAACUCAAACUUCAAUAGGAGCUAUCAAAUAAUUUGCCUAGUCACAAUUCAUAAAGAGUAGGCAUUAUGCAAAUUUAAGCUUCAAAAUAAUUUCCACUCCCAAAGGUCCAAUCCUUACUCUUCCACAAAAAUCUAUGUGUUAUUUAUUAGUUUCCGGAUAUAGUAUGUCAAACUAAUCUCUCCCCUCAACCUAGUUCUUUUCAAAGCUUAGCAAACUAAUCAACCUCCAAUAGGCUAAGAACGCACCUCUUUUCUUUCACAAUUUUUUCUUGUAGGAGUGCAAAGCUUAAAGGCAUUCUUUUCUAAAUUGUCCAUGUAACUGGGGUCCAUCGAUGACUCCCAACCAAUCAAGGUUUAGGGCAUCAAGCUUUAAGGAUUUUUCAACCACUAACUCCUCGGAUUUCACCCCGGACUUUUGAGAAUGAAUUUUUAAUACCCAAGCACCUACAAUAUGUUAAACUCCACCUAUUCACCCUUGUAACGAGCAUUGAGGUCGGUGACUCCCAACCAUUGAAGGCUUAGGGCACCAGGUUUUAAAGAUUUUCACCAUAUACCCUUUAGACCUUGCUCGAGUUUCAAGGCAAGUAAAACAUUUUUCUUUUUCUUUCUUUUUUCAAAGGCUCAUUGGCCUUUUAUCAGGUGUCUCAACACUAUUAAAAUGAGGUCAAAUGUACCAAGUCUAAAUUUUCCUAAGUCAAGGGGGAAAAUAGUUUUUCAUCUUAUAAAUGGAACCUAGUGUGCAUGGUGUGUGAUAAGCUUAAAGUGGAAGAAAUAAGGUUGAAAUCAAUAGGAGUUCAAUAAUUCAUCAACUUUAAUAAACAUAAUACAAACUCUAAGUUUCAAGUAAAAAGACAAAAAUUUAAUUUCUCCCAUUUCAUUUUGAAAUUUUUUUCUUAAUAACCAUGGAGAGUAUUCAAAAAAAACUUUAAAAAAUUUUAAAAAUUAAGCAAAAAGCAACUAAAUUACCAAAAUAACUUAGCAUGAAUAACAAAACUUCCUUCCUCAACUCUCCCCCCAACCAAGCUGAACAUUGUCCUCAAUGUUUCAAGAGCGAUAAAAAAAAAAUAAAGGGAGGAAGUGGUACCUCCUAAGUGGCAUGGAGUCUGAGUCGUAUAGGAGAAACCACAUGUUUAAAAAAAAAACAAAAAAUUCAGUGAGUAGAGGAAAUAGAAAAAUGCCAAGUUUAAACAAAAAUGAUGUCUAUAUAUUAAUCUGAGAAAAUAGAAUAUAAUAUAUGAUCAUGCAAUACAUCCAAUCCCAGAAUAUAAAACAUCAAAACAUGGAAUUAUCUAUACUAAUAUAAUAAGUAAAUACAAAAAUUAAAGAGAUGAUCAAGUAGUGGUAGGGUCCUGUGGAGAUAAUGGCUCUGUGGUGGCCUUCUGAGUGGGUUGGGUCAGGACAUUGACCUAUGCUCUAGUAGUCUCCUUAUGUGGCGUAGUCUUCUCAACUGGAGCUCUCAGCUGGAGCUAUGGGCUGUGAUGGUUUAAGGAGGUGAAAAAUGGAGUGAGAGGCUUGGUGUGUGUGAUCUCAGUGAGAGGGCUCUCUUCUUUAGAUGCAUGGUUGUGAGGCUCUGUUGGCAUUUUUGCAAUUUCCCUUGGCUUUGCAAAAUGUUUUUGCACAUCAUUUUGUAGCUUGGAGGUCAUUUCAUAGCUUGGAGGCCAUGUCUUGCAGCCAAAGGGAAAAGAAAAACAUUUUUGCACCCAUGGAAAAAUAGAAAUAUUUUAGCAGCCCAUUUUGAAGCUUGGAAAUCAUUUUGUAGCCAUUUUGAGGUUUGGAAAAUCAUUUGGCAAUCAAAAGGGGAAUUUCGCAGCCCAUUCUUGAAGCUUGGAGCAUUUUCGCACUUUAAAAAAAAAAAUUUCGCACCUUGGAAAGGAUUUUUCGCACUUUGGAUUUCAAGGUGCGAAAUUCCCGCUCAGCUUUGUGCAGUAUGUCUUCAAAUGGCCAUAACUUCUUCGUUUCAAAUCCAAUUCACACACCGUUUGAAGCUCUAGAUUCCUGACUUCCCAAGCUUCAAAACGACAUAUCGUAUGCAUAAUUUGAGCUCCAGAAAGUGCUUCAAAAACGUGUCUAACAGUAGCGAAAUUUGGUGCGGCUGCAACAUUUCCGUUCAGCUUUGCAUAGUCGUCUUCAAACGGCCAUAACUUCUUCGUUUCAAAUCCAAAUCAUGUACCGUUUGAAGCUCUGGAUUCUUGACUUCCUAAGCUUUAAAAUGAUAUAUGGUAUGUAUAAUUUGAGCUCCAGUAAGUACUUCAAAAAUGUAUCCAAAAGUAGCAAAAUUUUCGCACUUGAAUUCGCACGUUGGAAUGAAUUUCGCACCUUGAAUUGUGGUGUGCGAAAUGCCACUCGUGCGCCAGGGAGGUGUUUCGCACGGUGCGAAAAUUUUCGCACCUUGAAUAGUGGUGUGCGAAACUGAUGUUUAGAGAAUUCGCACCUUGGACUGAGAUUUUCGCACCUUGGAAUGAAUUUCGCACCUUGAAUAGUGGUGUGCGAAAUUUUCGCACCUUGUUUCGCACCGUACAAAAAUUGGCUUGAGGUGUGCGAAAUGGCACUCGUGUGGCUGGAGAGUGUUUCGCACGGUGCGAAAAUUUUCGCACCUUGGAUUGAGGUGUGCGAAAUUCCCGCUCAGCUCGGUGCAGUUUUCUUGCAAUGACCAUAACUUUUUCGUUUCAACUCCGAUUUGGACACCGUUUAAAGAGUUGGACUCCUGACUUCCCGAGCUUCGAAAUGGUAUAUAGUAUGUAUAAAAUGGACUCGAGAAAGUGCUCCAAAUAUGUCCCGAAGUGGAAAUAGAACCAAUGGCCAGAAUUCUCUCUUCUCUUCCUUUUCUUUCAUCAUUUUUGCAAUCCCUCCUGCAAUGAUCAUCCAAAAACUUAUAUUAAAUCAAAACUAAUUAAAAUUAAAGCAUUGAAAUCAAAAUUAAAACAAGUAAUAAAGCAAAAAGAUAUGGACUAGCUAGUCUUUAGAAAGACUAAGUCCAUAAAAAAAAAAUGUUGUCCUGUUUCAGCUUGCCCGGAUCCCAUAUGAAGUUAGCAUCCUUCAUUAGAGAUUUGCAUUGUAUGAUGGCAAUGGAAACAAUUCCCUUUCUCUUUCCUUUAAUUUCCUCCCUCUUCUUUUUCUCUGUUUCAUUCUCUGUUUCAUGCUCUUGUUUGGAUGUGGCCAAAUCAACCUCUUUACCACUCCUUAGAGUGAUCACGACUUUAACGUCUCUCACUUGUGAAGAUUCUCUCUUAUGAGCCUUGAGAUUGAGUAUUGGAGAUUAUCUAUCUUUUGAGAUAGAUCAUUUUGUAUUUCAUCCAUCCUUUUAUUCAAUGAACUCUCUACACUAUCAAUUCUUUGACUGAGCUGAGCAUUGAUGGAUUUCUGAGCUCCAACAAAGUCUACCCCGACCUUGCUAAGAUUCACUAUAGCUUGUUCAAGGUUCGAGGCUUGCUGAGGUGCUUGAACAUGUUGCUUGUACUGAGGUGGCUGUGGUUUCCAUGAGAAAUUUGGAUGGUUCCUCCAAUUGGAAUUGUAGGUGUUGCAAUCACCAAACAUUUCCCUCACGGCUAGAAUGGUAGGACACUCUUCCACCAAGUGCUCAUAAGAUAGACAAAUGGCACAAGGCAUAGGUUGCAAUGGUGUCUGAGAGAUGGCUUGCACUUCUUGCAUCUUCUUCAUUUCUAACUCUUCCAAUCUCCUUGCCAUAGUUGCAAUCUUUGCCUUCAUGUCUAUGCCAUCAUUCGAAAUAUACAUCUCACCCUUAGCAUUAGGUUGAGACUUCAUUAUCCCCAUAUCUCUAGCAUUUGGUUCAUCCCAUCCUCUUGAAACUACAGCCACAUAACUCAUGAAGUUCAUGGCUUCCUCUACUAUCUCGUAUUCAAUAUGGCAUGCACAACUAGCAAUUUGUGAAUUAAAAACAGAGAAAACAAAAGAAAAACAAUUCUAAAAAAAAAAAAAUUAAGACUAAGUAAAACUAGCUGAAAGGUAAACUAAAACAAAAAUAAAGAAAAAGAACAAUUAAAAAGAGUUAGUAAAAGAAAAGAAAAAUCACCAAACUUGUGAUGAAGAUCACAAGUGUUCUCAAAAGAUCAUAUCACUGCAAAGUGGCACCAUCCCCGGCAACGGCGCCAUUUGAUUCGUGCCUAAUUGGUGUAUCAGCUGAUUCAUGUCCAGCUGGUGCUCCUUGAUUGAGGGAGUAAUCAACAAAAUUUAUAACCUAUUACACCAUGUACUAGGGUAGCAAAGACGAAGCUACUAUAGCAUAGUGGCUCUAGGAUCAUUCACUGGAAUGGGUUUUCACUUCACAAAUGAUAUUAAUUCAAAGAUGAAUUGGUGCUUUUUCAUUUCAAGGUUAGCUUUAAAAGAAGACAUAAGUUUGAAUGAAAACGGAUGGUAUUAAGCUAACCUAACAUAAAGUAACUAAAAUUAACUAGAAAGAAAUUAGAAAGAAAGGUGUUUCUUAGGAUUUCAGGUUACUAGGAUCAGGUGCCAACUGUAAAGUGGGAAAUUUCGGAUUUUUCUUCUCGCAUUGGGGACAACAACAUAAAGGAUGGUUGUUUCCCAAACCGGUAUAGGUUUAACAAUGAAGAUUUAAUCCAUAAAAAGUCAAUAGAAAUGGUAGUCAAGUUCCAUUAAUGGCUUUAGACACUAUGGGUCUUCACCUUAGAAUCACUUUGAAUGGCCAAUACAUGGUAAGCUUCCGGUCUCUGUGGAUGCAUAUUGCUACAUCCAUAUCAAUCCAUUAGUUAUCAUGUACUAGCCAUUGGAAAGUGAUUCAAGGUGAAGACCCAUAGUGUCUAAAGCCAUUAAUGGAACUUGACUACCAUUUCUAUUGACUUUUUAUGGAUUAAAUCUUCAUUGUUAAACCUAUACCGGUUCGGGAAACAACCAUCCUUUAUGUUGUUGUCCCCAAUGCAAGAAGAAAAAUCCGGAAUUUCCCACUUUACAGUUGGCACCUGAUCCUAGUAACCUGAAAUCCUAAGAAACACCUUUCUUUCUAAUUUCUUUCUAGUUAAUUUUAGUUACUUUAUGUUAGGUUAGCUUAAUACCAUCCGUUUUUAUUCAAACUUAUGUCUUCUUUUAAAGCUAACCUUGAAAUGAAAAAGCACCAAUUCAUCUUUGAAUUAAUAUCAUUUGUGAAGUGAAAACCCAUCCCAGUGAACGAUCCUAGAGCCACUAUGCUAUAGUAGCUUUGUCUUUGCUACCCUAGUACAUGGUGUAAUAGGUUAUAAAUUUUGUUGAUUAAUCCUUCAAUCAAGGAGCACCAGCUGGACAUGAAUCAGCUGAUACGCCAAUUAGGCACGAAUCAACAACAUAUCAUAUCCCAUGUUUGGUUAGUGAUAGAAGAAGAUAAGUUAACCUCACAACUUGUCAUAUCUUAUAUUCAACCAAACAUGGAAUAGGGUAACUCGAUAUUAUCAAUUGUUUAUAUAUAUAUUACUUAUCUUGCAAAAUAUUUUUUUCGUUAAAAAAGGAAAAUUAAAAAAAUUUAUAAAAUAUAUUAUUAAAUAAUAUUAAUAUAUUUAUUAUUCAAUAUAUACAAAAUAUUUUUAUAUAUUGAAUAUCAUAAUAUAUAUAGUAAAUUUUAAUUUAUAAAGUUUAAAUAUUUUAAUUAUGAAUAUUAUUAAAUGUAAAACAUAAAAAAUAUUGAAAUGUAAUAUAAUUUUUAAUUUAAACAUUGAAAAAUAAUAUAUACUAUAUCUUAUUUUUAUUCAUUUACAAAUUAAAUAUAAACAUAAUAUAAUAGACCCAUUGAAUAUAAUAUUCAAUAACAUCAUAUCUUAUUAAAAAUCAUAUAUUUACAUUUCCUAAUAUACAUAUAUAUUCUAUCCUACUAACCAAACAUAACCUUAAAAUAUUUUCAAACAUUUUCAUAACUUCUAUCAAUUUGCAUUCCACCCAAAUUUUGUUUUCUUUUGUUUCACAUUUUUCAUCCCAUAUUUUUCAUAUUUAUAUAAAUUCAAGUACCAACUUUUAAUACCUUCAUCAUUUUCAACAUUGUUGUAGAGAGUCAUAAAAAACUUAUUUAUUUUUAAUUAAAUGAGAUUCUGUCAACAUAUUUUUAAAAUGAGAAAUUAACACUCAUAUAAUAAUCUUAUUUUUUGUAGUGUGGCAUCUCAAAAUAUUGAAAAUUUUCUAGCAUUCGUUGUAAAAUGACUAAAAUCAUCAAAAAUAUUUUUCUUCACUUACAUAAUUAUUAAAUAAGUUUUUAUCUUUUAUUUUUAAAAGUAAAAAAAAAAAUUUGAAUACCAAAAAUAUUUAGCAUUUAUAGAAAUUAGAAACAACAUUUAUAUUUUCUAUCUAAAAAGAGAAAAAUUAAAAGUCUCAUAUUGACUUACCUACAACAAAAAGGAUCCUAAAAUCAACCUAACAAACUUCAAACAAGCAAUAAUCAGCAUAAACCAAACCCCAUCUCACACUUCAACUUGCACUGCACUUACAAUUAACAAAACAGACCCAUAAGAAAACAAAAGAGCAGGAUGAGUUUUUUCAUAUUCUUGUUUGCCAUAUUCUUGUUUGCCAACUGCGCUUUCAGGUGUUUUCUAAUAACAUAUUUGGUGGGGUGCUCAUGCAAUCUCCUUUUGUACAUGAUUUUGAUCAAAGAGAAAUGUUUUGCUUCUACCUUUUCCCUGGAAGUAACAUCAGUGGGAAGGUUCACUAGCUUUGCUUUAGAACUAGCUUUAUUUUAACUUUUCAUUUAUAAAAUCAUCCCCCAUAUUGGAAGUACUUCAUUUCUAUGCCUUCAAAUGGAUCUACCAAUAUAUGCCAUUUCUUUCAAAUUCAUUCUUUGAUCAUGUUGCAUUCAGGUUGAACAUUAAUAUCCUGUACUGAUGACCUUCUGUAGUGGUGUUGACAUUGAUCUUGACAAUGUCAACAAAUCACUAAAGAGAAGCGCAUGUACAAGUGCAAAAGAUAGGCACAAAUACUUUGCAAGGGCACACAAACACAAUAAUUUACAUGAGAGUUUGAUUUCAUUUGCCUGCAAAAUCAACCCAUUUUUACAGCUAUAGGCUUGCCUUAUACAUGUCCAAAAAGCAUACAAGACCAAUAAUCCGUUGAUUUGGACUUUGUCUAGGAUGACUACGUAUGGAAUAAAUAUGAGGAGUCACAAUACUGUCUGUUCAGACUCAUAAUAUUCAAAUAAUGUCUGUAUUAGACCCUAUUAGCACUUUAAAGAUUUCAAUGACUACGUAUCGGUCAAACUAGUGAACUAUGAAUUAGUAAUUUUUUUUUAUUCAAUGACUGAUCUUAUUCUAAAAACAUUGAUUUAAAAGAUUUCAAAUUAACACUACCUAAAGGCAUUGAUAUAUAUGUAGAGGCUUUGGGUGUCAAUUAAGCCUAAAUAUUUAAUUACAUCUCUUCUAGUAUUUAAGUGUGCACACGUGAUGCAACUUUUUGUUUGAAUGAUAUUACAUGGACAAUUACUUGUUGAAUAUUUAAAUGUUAAAAAUAAUAAUAUUAUUAAAGAAAACUUGGAAAUAAACAUUUAAUGACUCAAAUUUUCUUUAUUUCUAAAAUUAAAUUAUACUUCUCUCUUCUUUAAACAAUUUUUUCAUAAAUGAAUGUGUUCAAACAUUUUUCAAGAUCUAUUUAUCUGGAUAAACAUAACUUUUAGAAUUUUCUUUUAUCUUCUCUUCAUUUAUAUUCAUAAUUGUUUUGAAUUAAUUUUUAUUUAUCUAUUAAAAAUUAGUUGUGGUUUACAUUCUUUGUAUAAUAUUUAUUAUUAUCCUCAUUAUUAUAAUAAUAAAGAAAUGAUUAAAAAUAUUUGCUGAAAAAUAAGGUUAAAAAAUUUUAUAUAAGAAAAAUAAAAUGUGGUAAACUUGUUUUUAGGCAAACCCUUAAAUAUUUUCAUUAAUUAUUAUUAUUAUUAUUUUUUUUUACAAUUUUUUCAAAUUCAUGUGGUAUAAUUUGAGUGAAAAUUUAUUAAAAACUUGAAAAAUAAAUAUUUGAUAUAUUUAAUAAUCUUGUUUUCCAGGCAAUAAAAUCUUCUUGUCUGUUGAAGCCUCGCAUCACCCGGGGUUCUCGCAGUAGCCAGAUGGACGCUCCCUUUCAAUUGAUGAUGAUUCAUGCCUCAAUCAACCUGCAAAAGAUGUCCGGACAGGUUGUCUGGACACACCCUUCGAUGGUUUUGUUAGCCUUCUCUCUGAUAAUCAAUCUUCCCUUUUUACUGAGUAAGAAAGCUUACCUUCUCUCCUCGCAUGAAGGUUCUUUUAUAGUGUCAGAAGUUCUGUCCCCUUUAAUGGUGGGAAGACUUUUUGGCUUGUCAUGAUGGCGCUGAGGUAGUGGCAGAGCCAUCAUUGUCUUGCAGGCGCCUGUCAGAUAUUGUGGAGGGGAUGGCUUACCGUUAUUCCUGUCCUUUUGCUCUACAGACGGCGGAGUGCGGGCUGUGACAGGUUGUCUGAGGUGACUCAGUAUGGUCCUGUCGAAAGUGCUUCUGGCAGUGUAGGCCAGGAUGGCCUACAUUUCACGGGCAAGGCUUUUGAUUAAGUUGCUAACGCUGGGUCCGGACAACAUAUCUAGACAAGAGAAUGAGUCAUCCGGACCGUGGGUUUGAGAGUGUCGUACGCCCCCCGAAGGGAAUCCGGAUAGAGAGUUGAUGUGCCAUGUGUCCCCUGGAGGGGUGCUGUGCGGGGUUGCUACGUGGGCGUUUGGGGGUGGUCCCUACAAUGCCUCCCUUUUAACCUGGCUAUUUUGCCCGAGCAGAAAAGGCGGGUUAAAAAUGAUGCUUUUAAACCCUUCGUUUCUUUUUUGGGGUUUAUGUGCCACGUGGUACUGCAAAAGGGGGGGUAUUUAUGGCGAGCCGCUGUUCUUGGGGGGAUUUCUAGGUGGCAUGUCGUUUCGAUAGUGGUGCAGUUGGGUGCCUAGUAGUUUGGAGGACCAAGGAGUCGCAUCCCUUAAAUAGGGAAUCCAGCCCCCGCGACUGCAUUUUUCAUUCUGCAUUUUUUUCUCAUCUAUAUUUUCCCUUUGCCUCUCUAUUCAUCUUCAUUUGUGACCGAGGGUCACUUUCUAGGGCUUCUGUUAGCGGCAUUCUUGUCACAAGGGCGACUGUAUCGCGGCCUUCGUUCCAGUUGCAAGCUUGCGCCAGGUAUGUUCUGUAUUUCUAUCUCUUCAUCUUAAGCUUCCUGUUUCUUCGGAUUUUGUUGGCUUGUUGGGUAUUUUGUUUGCAAUUGAGGGUCAGAGGUAAUGUUUAGGGUUUUUCAGGGGGUUUUGAUUUUGCUUUGGGCCCAUUGUGGUUUUUGUUGCCCUCCUGUUGCCUUUGCGGAUGACUGAACCGCAUUUGGGGUAGAGUUAGGGGUUAGGCUUGGGGUUUUGGCUAUUUUAGGCCUUCUGGGUCAUUUGUUCUCAGGGUUGUGGGGCGAGGUACCUCUGUUUUGACAGUUGGCAUUUCGCCAUGCAGGUUUUGUCUCAGCCCCACGCUUUAACAUGCCUGCGAAAAAUGAUGUGACUUCGUCUAGUACGGCUGGACCUAGCGGAAAAAGUGUAUUUGGGCAGACCUACUUGGGAAAGCCUACUGACAAGUUGAACGAGAGGGAGUUUUGUGAGCGUUUCUGAAUCCCGAAUGAUGUCUCUGUUUAGCUAGUGGACAGGGAUGCUAUGUCCACUGAGAAAGCUGCCAACCACGCCGUUUACUUUUCCAAGGAGCAAUUCAAUGCAGGGCUCCCGUUUUCUUUUUCGUCUCUCUUCAAAGAGUUCCUCCACUUCACUCAGAUUCCUCUAGCUUAUGUCCAUCCCAAUAUUGUCCUGGUGUUGAUGGGGUGCAGCAUCUUAAAUAUGCUGUUCAAUUUGGAUCUUUCCUUGCUGGAGGUCCUCUUUGUUUACACCAUCAAGAAGGGGAAGACAGACCUCUUCAGCUUGUUUGCUCAUAUCCCAUCCCUUCAAUUGGUGACCAACCUUCCGGAUUCGAACAAGGGGAGAGCCAAAGGGCAUGUACUGGUCAGGGGUCACUGGGCCGGUCUGUCGAAGCCUUCGGAAAGGGAGUUUACCCCCAACCGUUCGUUGACGCUUCCGGGUAGGGUAGCUCUUGGUGUAUGUCCGGUGUUGGUUUUUGACUCUUGAUUCAGUGUUAUCAGAUGACUAACCUCUUUUGUUUUGGGUAACGCAGGUACACACAAGAGGGGUCGCUUGGUCGAGUGGCUGGAGAAGGCCUCUUUUGAUCGUUUGAACAGGCUGUUCGAGAUCAUUUCCAUCGAGAGGCACUAUCAGACACUUCUUUCUACCUGGAACCUGUUGGCGGUCGUCCGGGAACCUCAGCCGUACGUCCUCAAUAUUCUCCCCAGGCGACUACCCAAGGUUGUAGUGUCCGGGGAACACUUUGUGCUGAAGGAUCUGCCUUUUUACGAAAGGGCUAGCGAGGCUAACGCAAAGGCGCGCCAGGAGUGCCUUGACCAGCGGGAGGAGAAGAGGCAGGAGGGGACACUAAGGAAAACACCUGUAAGAGAAAGAGCCUAGCGAGAAGGGACACGACUCUUCUCCCGCGGUCCGUCCUCCGACUACAAAGAAGAAGAAAAAGAAAACCAUUGCGCAGGCUCUCCAGGUAGUGUCUCCGGCUCCUGAUCUUUCAUCUUCAUCCUCCGACUCUGUGUCCAGUCGACCGAAUAACCCUGCCCCGGAGCCUGAGGAUACUUCUAGCUUCCCACAGCUUGAGACUUUCCGUUCGGGGCCUGGCUCUUUCCAGCCUCAAUUGGACUUCGUUGGCCUGAGAGUCGUGCAUGAGCCGGAGGAAGUGAGCGACAUGAACGACCUCAGAACCGGGUUUUUACAAAGGCAUCGUAAGCGGCUGUAUGAUCCCAUAGAUCUUGCACCUCCUCCAGCCAGGAAGGAUUGCCCAGAGAGAGAUGAUGAGGAUCUGACGAUAGAAGUUCCUUUGUCAGCUAUGGCCCAUUCGGAUGAGGCGAGUUCUAGCGCGGCUGCAGCGGUUCAGCCAGACGCUGCAGGAUCUGAUGCAGCGGCAAUGACUCGGCCCGAAGUUCCAGGGCCUAACGCAGUGACCGUUGCUCAACCAGGCGUAACUGCUCACAACAACGCCCCGACUGCCAUGGAGACCCGUGGGACAGAGGGGGUUCUGGAGGCAGCGAUUGACGAGGAGGCUUCGAACAAGAAGAGUAGUCCAGCUGCCAUGGUUCCUCCAAGCUGGGAGGAAAUGAUGGAGAUGCUGAAGGGAGUGUCAUGUUUCACGGAUGUGGAGGCUCAUUCCACAAGGAUGUCUGACUUUUUUUCGCUUACCAAGCGGGUCUCUGUGAAUAUGGGUGGUGAUCCUCCUGCCUUUGUCAAGGCCCGACUUCCUUUUAGCACCCCUGAGUCCGCCGUUUCUUAUAUUCAACAUCUGCAGGAGUGGACGAUCCCUGAUACUGCAGAAGUGGUAAUCAUUUCUUUGCUACUUUUUCCUUCUUCCUUAGCAACUGUUACUCCUUUGCACGACAUUAGCUUUUAUUUUGUUGUUGUUCUGCACAGGUCGUGGCUGGCAUCCACUACAUGAUGCAUAUCUGCGAACAACUCUUCAAGCGGCUGGAAGUGGUGGAGGCUAUGCGCGCCUUCAUCUCUCACCAUCUGGGCGGCGUUGAGGAGAUGCGCUCACGGUUAGAGAAGGUGGAGGCUGAGUUGGCCACUGCUCAAAAGGCCGUAGCGGAUGGGGCGGAGAAGUUGAGCCAGGCUGAGGAGGAGAAGGGGACUGUCCGGGCUAAGGUGAACUUGCUGAAAAGGGAAAAAGGGGCCUUGGAGGGUCAAAUCAAAGGGGUGGAGCAAGAGAAUUCUCAACUUAAGAAGGAGGUGGACGAACUUCAGGCUAGCCUCGCAGCUCAAAAGGAGACAGAGAGGUUGCAGGCAAGCCUAGUUGCUCAGAGGGAGGAGAUGGAGGCCGGGUUUGUCGCUCAGAAGAAGGAGUUGGAGACGGAGUAUCAAAGGCAGGUAGAGGAGAUGUACUUGUUCGACUACCGUUGUUGCAUGAAGAAGAAUGACAUUAUGCAUGAUGUUCUAUCUCUUCCUUGUGACGAUGAGGAUGCGAUACCCGGAGGCCCUUCUUGCUGAGAUUUCUUUGUGUGCAGUACUCCUUAUACUUUUUCUCUUUGUUUUGCUGCUUUUGGGGUGGCGGAUUUUGUAAAGACAAUUUUUCAGUCCUUUAUAAAUGCUUUAGACUUCUUUGUUUUUCUCUACCUUUAGCUUCUCUUUAUUGGUAAUAUUGCUUAAGGUUAGAUACAUUCCAUGGACAGAGCAAGUCUAACUUUUGUAGGUGAUAGGCUCCGCUUUCACUUGUCUUAGUUACAAUAUAAGGACCUUCCCAAUUCGCUUGGAAUUUCUCGGCUCCUCUUUCAGCGGUGUUUUCGAAAACCUUUCUAAGGACCAGCGUUCCAAUCUUGAAGACCCGGGGUCGUGCCUUGUGGUUAUAGUGAGUGGCCGCUCUUUGCUGGUAGUCAGCCAUCCGAAUGGACGCGUUUUCUCUCACUUCAUCCUCCCAGUCUAGGUUCCUUCCUAGUUCCACUUUCAUCACUUUGUCCUCGUGCAUCAGUCCGAAUAAUGGGCAAGCCUAUUUCUGUGGGGAUGAUUGCAUCCAUGCCGUAUGCAAGGGCGAAGGGAGUGUUUCCCGUGGGUCGGCCGGGCGUGGUUCGGUAGGCCCAUAGGACGCAGGGCAGUUCCUCUACCCACUUUCCUUUGGCCUGCUCGAGCCUCUUCUUUAAGGCAGUCACCAAGGUUUUAUUUGUCGCUUCUGCCUGCCCAUUGCUUUGAGGGUAAGGCGGUGUGGAGUACAAAUUCUGGAUUUUGAGCUCCGAGCAGAAAUUCCGGAAGGCGAUGCUGUCAAACUGUGGACCAUUAUCGGCUAUGAUUGCUUGAGGGAUCCCAAAGCGGCAAAUGAUGUUCUUCUACACAAAUUUGGUGACAUCCUUGUCCUUGAUGCUGGCAUAUGCCUCUACUUCUACCCAUUUGCUGAAGUAGUCUUUGGCAACGAGUAGAAAUUUCUUCUGGGCAGCCACGGUUGGUAAAGGUCCUAAUAUGUCCAUCCCCCAUUGUGCAAAAGGCCAAGGGUUGGAAAUUGGCUUCAACGUUUCAGAAGGCGCAUGCGGUAUGGGGCAUGCCUUUGGCAUUUGUCACACUUCUUGACAUAAGUCGUCACGUCUCUCUUAAUAGUGGGCCAAUAGUAGCCCUGCGAGUGUGCUCGAUGCGCCAAAGAUCGUCCUCCGAGGUGAUUGUCGCAUACACCCUCAUGUAACUCAGCUAAUAUGUAUUGAGCCUCUAAGCAGUCUAGGCACCUGAGGUAGGGGCCUGUAAAAGAUCGUUUGUAAAGGUGCUCCCCGAUCAGAGCGAAACGGGCAGCUUGUACCCGGAUCUUGUGCGUUUGCUUGGGUUCAUCAGGUAGAGAUCCUGUUCGGAGGUAUCCUGCUAUGACUUCCGUCCACUCCUGGCCCUCUUCCUGGCUCUCCUCAAUAGUAUUGCAAGUGGAUGCUUUUGUGAUGGAAGGAUCAGUCUACACAUAUAUAGGCAAUAAUAUGGCCUCUUUGAUGGGCAGGGAAGCAGCUAUUCUUGCCAGGGCGUCAACACGUACGUUAUCAGCUCGUGGGAUUUUUUCUAUGGUCCAUUCGCCCAACCGUUGCAGGGUGUUAGAUAUCGUGCCAUAUCAAGGACGACCCCUGCAAUUCCGGGAUAUACCGAUUCUAGAUCAGGCCUAGAGUUCGCCCCCUGGCCUCUUGGGCAUUGGUCAUGAGGAGGCCUCGAGGACGAAACUUGGAUGUGUAACACCGCGUUUUCUUCUCUUAGUCUCGUCAUUUCUCGGAGAAGAGCUUGCAUUUGUCGUUCGCUCUCCAACUGUCACCUUUCCAUGGUCUCGCGCCAUUCGAAAUAGCCUUCAUCUCCUCUGGCUGACGAACGACUCUUGGAAGGUGUGGGCAUCUUUGUCGUUGAUUGAGCAACUUCCCACAGACGACGCCAAUGUUGAAGCCUCGCGUCACCCGGGGUCCUCACAGUAGCCAGAUGAACAUUCCCUUUCAACUGAAGAUGAUUCCUGCCUCAAUCAACCUGCAAAAGACAUCCGGACAGGUUUUCCGGACACACCCUCCGAUGGUUUUGUUAGCCUUCUCUCUGAUAAUCAAUCUUCCUUUUUUAUUGAGUAAGAAAGCUUACCUUCUCUCCUCGCAUGAAGGCUCUUUUAUAGUGUCAGAAGUUCAUCCCCUUUAAUGGUGGGAAGACUUUUUGGCUUGUCAUGAUGGCGCUGAGGUAGUGGCAAAGUCAUCAUUGUCCUGUAGGCGGCUGUCAGAUAUUGUGGAGGGGAUGGCUUGCCGUCAUUCUUGUCCUUUCACUCUGUAGGCGGUGGAAUGCGGGCUGUGACAGGUUGUCUAAGAUGACUCAGUAUGGUCCCGUCGAAAGUGCUUCUGGCAGUGUAGGCCAGGAUGGCCCGCGUUUCACGGCCAAGGCUUUUGAUUAAGUUGCUAAUGCUAGGUCCGGACAACAUAUUCAGACAAGAGAGGGGGUCAUCCAGACCGUGGGUUUGAGAGUGUCGUACGCCCCUCAGAGGGAAUCUGCAUAGAGAGUUGAUGUGCCACGUGUCUCCUGGAGGGGUGUUGUGCGGGGUUGCCACAUGGGCGUUUGGGGGUGGUCCCUACAUUGUCCAACUCACGUUAAUGUAUUAAAUUAAUAAUCUCACUAAAUAUAUAAGAUAAUAGUUAUUUAGAAAUUCUUCAGAGUCUAAUAAAAUAUAAAUUAAUAACUAAUGAAAUAUGUGGAAAAAAAACAAAAGAAUUCAUAAUACAAACUUUCUCAAAAUAUACAUUGAAAUUUAUUUAUUUUCUUUGCACCUAAACUAACUCAAUUUUAUCUUUAUUUUUUUGUAAUAUAUAUACACUAAAUUAAUAAAUUAUUGAUUUAUUGAUAAAUUAAUAAUUCCUUUUGAUUCAAGAAUAAUAUUUUAUUUUAUAGGGUGUUUUCCUAUAGCUAGGAGUGGCGCAAAGGAGAUAGCAAAUAAUUAUCCAUCAAUGAGUUACUGGCUUACUGCUGCUUCCGGGUUAUGUACGCCGCUUUAGUCAAGAUCUUCAUUGCAACCUAUAACAAGCUAAGCUCUAAGUCAAGUCAAUUGGUCCCCCAUCGUAAUUACCCAAAUGAGAUUGUAUAGAAUCACACUUUCAUCUUUGAGUGAAAGAAGAAGCCUUCCUUGACUGAUUCACUCCUUCAGCAAAUGAAUUGCAUGGAAACGAGAUAAAUGUCUUUGAUGCAAAGUAAGGUAAAAAAAAUAGAGGUAGAGUUAGGUGGAGUUUGUUUUUUUUGACUUUUUAUUAAAAGUAAUUUAUUUUUAAAAUUUAGGUAGUUUAUUUAUUUUUUUUUUAUCACUUAUUAUACAUUUUUUAUUGAAUAGAAAAAAUUAAAAUAUUUAAUUUUUUUAAAUAGAAAAAAUAAUAUAUUGAUUUUUUAUUACUUUUUAAUAUUUAAUAGAAAUAAAAUAUUAUUAAAAAAGCAACCUAAUAUUUAAUACUAUUAAGUAUUAAGUUUCUAUUUAGAAUUAAGCAAAAAAAACAAACACCGUCUUAGAAUUUUAAGUGUCUGCUAAAAAAGCAAUGAAAUCCCAAUUUUAGCGAAAAAUAAGAAAUGUGAAUCCCAGGUUUUGAACUUCAAAACUGAAGAAAAGAAUGUACAAUUUAUUCAAAACUUUUAGGCCCCACUUAAAAACAUGGAAAAUUUGACAAAAAUAAAUAGAAUAGACGGUCAGCAAGCGGUUAAGUUGAGGCCGCCCACCAUAAUUGACAAAAUGAAACCGUAUGGAAAACGGAGACUUUUGGGCCAAAAUGGCCCAUUUUUGAAACUUAACAUUGAAAGUGGUCUCAUUUCCAAACUAUUGUUCAAAAUGGCCCCUUGAAGCCAUAUCAACCCAUAAAUCAAUAUUUUAUAUUGUUUUUACUUUACCAUUUCCAUCCCCGUGCUCUGUUAUCUUCCAUGCUGCUGUUCUCUCUUCUGUGUGAUUUUUUUUCUAAACCCUAGCCCCACCAGUAGGCCACUAAAAAAGACGGUGGAGCUACAAAGCAUAAAGUUUAAGGUGAGUCAUAAUCUUCUUUUUGGCUUAUAUAAGUUUUUGGCACUUUCCAAUUUUUUUUCCCAUCUCAAAAUCUCGAUUUUUAGAAUUUUUUUUUUUUCCCAUUGUUGUGAAUGAUUGGUUAGGGAGUGUGGUUAUGGUGAAUUAAUGGCUGUUAGUAUCAGAUUUUGGGGCAAUCGUUGGGGAGGAUUAGGCUUGCGGUGUCGGCAUUGAGGAGCUACUCAGUCUACGGAAAAACAGGUGAGAUGGGUUGUAUUGAUUGUGUUUUGUUGCUCUGUUUGGUUGGUGAGAAUUGACUAUAAGGAGAGUAAAUUAUUGUCACAAAAAACCAAGGCCCUCCCAUUGCAGCUGUUGGGCUUAAUUAAAAUGAGUUUUUAAUGUUCUAAAAAACAGAACAAGAAAAGGAAAUGAGCAUGAAAAAGAUGGUUGUUGCUUAAAAAAAUGGAGGUUUUGGGUUUGUUUUUUUUUUUUUUUUUGUAUUUAAGUCCAUGUUUGCAAUAACCUUUUGUUUCAAUAAGCAGCUGACCACAAAAAAAUUAUCCAAUUUCCAUUUCAAUAAUUUAAAAUUUGUAUUAUAUUUUAAAUAUUUUUUUAGGUAUCCCAGGAUUAAUAUUUGUGUGUGCAUGAGUCAUGACUCUCAAUCAAAUUAAUUUUAUGUAAUAUUUGAAUAGUAAUAGGAUUUAUGAUAAUAUUAUUUAUAUACUAAAUCCAUCUCCAUAAUUUUUCAAAGAUGAAAGAAAAAAAUAGGGUUAAUUAUGUAAAUUUGUAGUGUGAAACGGUUGCUUGAAACGGAUUAGGAGAGGUUCAAAUUGGUUUGGACUUUGGGUAGAAAAUGCAUUACACAUAAAGAUUAUAAUGCAUUUUUAAUUUAAAUUUGAAAAUAACAAAAAUAUAAUAUUCUAUAAUAUUUAAAUAAUAAAAGGAUUUAUGAGGAUAUUAUCAUAUAUAUGAAAUUAACUUAUAAGAUUUUGUAGUUAAGGGGAAAAAAAUUAGGAUUAAUUGAAAAGAAUUUUUUGAAAUUAUUAUGGGGCAUUAAUUAAUAAUAUUAAUAGCCAUAGAUAAAGAUUUAAAAAAAAUGAAAGUUGUAAAUAAUGAUAAAUAUAUUUGAAUGGAAUGAUUUUUAAUUCUUUUUUCUUUUUUUAGAAUUUGAGUGGAAUAGGGAAUGUGUUUGCUAAGAAUUUCGACCGACUCAAUAGAUAAUGUGAGUCUCCAAGCCAUGUUUCAGAAAUCUGGCGAUAUUCUGUUUUGUAAAGUGGUUGUGACCUUGGCUGAACCGAUGAUAUGUUGGAUUGAAUCUGUUCUUAAAGAUGUCUCCAAUUUCUACUUGUUCUGAAUGUGAGACAACACAUUGUCAUUAAUAUGAUUGAAUUUAGGAUGUUUUAUUUCUGUGUCAGUCUACCCAUGCAUUCACUUACACUCAUUCCUUGUCUUUGAAGGAGGAAAUGCCUCAACAUUCAAAAUAUUUUAUUUUUCCCAAACUGAAGUGAAGUAUUUGAUAGAAGUUCUACUAUUAUGGAAGUAUUGUUAUGAAUUGCUCAUCUAUUUGAGGUUAUAAUAUAAAAUACUAGCUUUUUAAAAGUAACGAAUUAAGGUAUGGGAAACGUGUUCUGUUAACUGUAGAAAUAUUUUUAUAUAUUUUAUGGUUAUUUAAAUAUAUUUUUUGGUUAUCUAAAUUUAAUGUUUCUAUCAUAAACUGGAUGUAUCUUGCAUGAAUAUAUAUAUAUAUAUAUAUAUAUAUAUGUAUAUAACAUGUUUGCUAGGAAAAAAAUGAUUUUGGAUAUAAACAAUUUCAAAGUAAAAAAUGAAUAAAUAAUUUUUUUCUGAUCAAGAGAUCUUGAAUAAUUUUGUCUCAACAGCUCUUAAAUAUAAAAUACUCAUCUAGAAUUUUUUUGCCUUGAUAUCAAGAAAACUUCUCAAAUAUGAGUAAACACUUUUUUUUUUUUAAAAAAAAAAAAGCCAGAUUCUUAAAGUACAGAUAUUUUCUCUUUAAAAAGACUUUUGUAUUUGGUUAUAUCCAAAAAUUUAAUUUUUAUUUAAUUAUAUUUUUUAAAGAUAUCAAAAUUACCCAUACUUUUAAUAAAAAUAUUAUUAAAACAAAAUAGUAAAAGUAUAAAAUGAAUGGUCCAACUCUAAAAAAACCUAUUAUAAAAUAGACCAUAUACCUCAUGUUUGAUGACUCCACUUAGACUACUAGAUUGUGGAUGUGAUGGGAGUGGAAGAGGAUGAAAGGGAGGCCAAAAGUGAACCCAUCUGGAAAAACUUUGAUUAUGGGUUGGAGAAAUUGAAUGUGGGUAGGGAUCAUAUUGUUUAUGUGAUCCUUUGUCAAUUGGGUUGUACUUCAUUUUCGUGAGUGCACACUAGACAGUAUUACAAAUGGUGUGGCCCUUGGACACGUCUAGAUGUUCAAGUAGGGUGUGAUGCCAGGGAAUAUAAAAAAAAAUUGUUAAGAAAGCAUUUUUAUUAUUAUACUAGAAUUUAGAAUCACAAUCUACAUGCUAUCUACAUUUUGCAAUGCAAGCAUAAUAGCAAGGAAGGUUAUCAAAUAUGAUUUUCAAGAUCUAAUUUUUAAAAUAAUUCUAAAUAGAAGAUCAAACUUUUUAAUUUUAUGUUCCAUAUAUAAAACAAUAUAAUAACCUUAGGAUAUGGUUUUUAUUUAUGAGAUAUUGAAAAUUAUUUUUUUUACAAGGUUCUUUAGAAAAUCUCAUUUUUUAUUUAAAAUAACAUAUUUAUUUUUAAAAAUAUAUUUAACAGAUAAUUUUGAGUUGUAAAAGAAUUAACAUAAUUAACACAUAUUUAUUUUAAAAUUUAAUUUUUAAUAUAAAAAUAUUAAUUUCAUUUUAUCAAAAAAAUAUUAAAAGUUAAUCUCAUCCUAAUUAUGAAAUUAGAAAAAUAAACUAAACGUGUUUGUAACCCAAACACAUGUAAAACAUUUUAUUGGACCACAAAAAUAAUAUUAAUUCAUAAUAUCAUCCUACUCUUUACUUAUACACUUAUUUGCUUAUACAUUGCUUUCAUUUGAGUUGAACUUGGUAUUUAGACAUGAAGCUUUGUUACAUUCCAAUAUUUAUUAGGUUUAUUAUUGUAUUUUAUGAAUCAUUGACCAUAAAGUAUUAUUUUUUACUUGAAUAAAUAUUAUUUUUUUUAUGUAAUAACCUUUUGUUAUUAUUUAUGUGAAGGCAAUUAUGACUGACUCCACAGUAGAAGUGCUAUGUCAUUGGAAUGGAAUAAUUUUGAGGACAGAAAUGGAUUUGAGAUAUAUUGGAAAUAAUGUAGAGAUUGAGCCUAUAGAUGUGCCAAUUCAUAUGACCUUUGUGGUGUUGUUGAAAAUGAUAUAUGAUAUCAUUGGUGUUGAUAGAGACUAUCAGUUAGUCUUGAAAUGUCGUCAUCCAACUGAAAUGAACAAAUUUCAACCAUUAGUGGUGAGAAAUGAUCGGAUAGUUGCACGUAUGCUACUGGUGCCAUCGAAGUAUGGAAUGUCUUCAGUUCAAUUUUCAUAGAGCAAACUCCCAACCAUUAUCAUUUGAGUAAUGAAAUGGGUCAUUUGACACGAUUAUCAACAAGUGAUACUGAUGUUGAUGACGAAAAUGAGAGAGAUGAGGAAGAUGAUGCAAUCGACACAGAUGAGAUUCAUUUACCUAAUGAUGAUGAAAAUUGUUGUCAAACAGAAAAUAUUGAUUUGGUGAUGGUCCAACAAGUUGUGGAAUGUGAAAGCAUAAGAUUUGUGAACCUUGAAGUUGGUGAUAGGUCUAAUAAUCCUGAGGUUGAGUUUGAGGUUGAAAACAUAUCAUUAGUUGCCUCCUCACAUGUACAUAAUUUAAUAUCUCUAAUGACAACCUAGAGGAAACAUUUGUACCCUUUUCAUACCAUAUGCCACCUACACCACAAUUUUUAAAUAUGGACAAGGCAAUUAAUUGUGUUGUAAGUGAUUGGACUCCAUGGAAAAAGCCAACUUUAGGAAAUGUUGAUGGAGAAUUAUCAAUUGGCCAAAUAUUUUCCUCAAAAUCAGAUUUGCAACAUGCUGUGAAGAUGUUUUCCAUAAAGGCGCACCAAGAGUUUACUGUUUAUAGAUCAAAUGCAAGUGUGUUAGUUCUUCAAUGUAAAAAAGCACCAGAGUGCCAAUGGCGACUAAGGGCAAUGAUAGUGAAAGAUACGGGUAUGUUUAGAAUCACAAAGUACAAAGUUCCUCAUACAUGUGUCAAUCCAUGUAUUAAGCAAGAUCAUUCACAGUUGGAUUCUAGCUUUGUAUCUAAGUAUAUUGAAACAUUGGUGAAGGCAGAAAUGACCAUUACAGUUGCUGCAAUUCAAGCUGUUGUUGCGGAACAAUUUGGUUACCAAAUUUCUUAUCAAAAAGCAAUGAAGGCAAAAAGGAAAGCAAUGACUCGAUUAUUUGGUGAUUGGUACAAGUCUUAUGUAGAGUUGCCUCGUUUCUUCCUUGCCUUGGAGCAAUCAAAUCCUGGAUGCAUUAUGUAUUCCAAAAUGGUUCCUGGAAACAAUCCGAAUGAAGAAAUUUUUCAGCGUGUUUUUUAGGCAUUCGCUCCAUCUAUUAAAGGGUUUGCACACUAUCGACCAGUUCUCAGUAUUGAUGGGACACAUUUGUAUGGAAAAUAUAAAGGGACUUUGCUGAUUGCUAUGGGAUGUGAUGGUAAUAACCAAUUGUUUCCACUUGCAUUUUCCAUUACAGAAGAAGAAAAUACAGAUAGUUGAAGUUGGUUUUUGGCAUGUAUCAGAGUUGGAGUACCACAAAGGAAAGGGUUGUGUCUGAUUUCUGAUCGUCAUCCUGGCAUUAUAGCUGUUGUCAAUGAAACAUAUUCGGGAUGGACUCAGCCAGAUGCUUGUCAUAGAUUUUGCAUGCGUCAUUUAGCAAGUAAUUUCAACACAAAGUUCAAAGAUAAGACUUUAAAGGAUCUCAUGUGUAGGGCUGCUAUGGAGAGUAAAGUUAAAAAAUUUAUUUCUCACAUGGAUACAAUUGGCCAGAUAAAUGUCGAGGCUAGAAAUUGGUUGGAGCAAAUUCCUUUUGAAAAAUGGGCACUCUCAUAUGAUGGUGAGCGGAGAUAUGGGAUUAUGACAACUAACAUGUCUGAAGUUUUUAAUGGUGUCCUUAAGGGUGCUCGUAACUUACCAAUAACAGCUUUAGUCCAGUUAACUUUCUAUCGGGUUAACAGUUACUUCACAGUCAGGCGGGAGCAUGGUGCCAGUGAUUCGUCCCUAGCAGCUGAAGUGGCAAUGGCACCAUUUGAUUCGGGGUUCGAUUCCCGGCAACGACGCCAUUUGAUUCGUGCCCAAUUGGUGUCUCAGCUGAUUCGUGUCCAGCUGGUGCUCCUUGAUUGAGGGAGUAAUCAACAAAAUUUAUAACCUAUUACACCAUAUACUAGGGUAGCAAAGACAAAGCUACUAUAGUAUAGUGGCUCUAAGAUCGUUCACUGGGAUGGGUUUUCACUUCACAAUUGAUAUCAAUUCAAAGCUGAAUUGGUGUCUUUUCAUUUCAAGGUUAGCUUUAAAAGAAAACAUAAAGAUGUUUGAAUGAAAAAGGUUGGUUUUAAGCUAACCAAAAAUAGAAACUGAUUUUACUUAUAAAGAAAAGAUGUUUCUUGGAGUUCAGAUCACUAGGCUCAGAUUCCUCAUACAAAAAGGGAGUUCCGGUCACUUGUUUCUUUUCCUCGCAUUAGAGAAUUAACAUAUAGUUCCUUCUCCAACCGGUGUUGUACAGAUGCUUUCCAUUAAUGGGUUCAAACACUAAAUCCCUCUCACUGAUGCACCUUGCAAUGGCUCAUACCUCUCACGAGCACUUACCAUUCAAGAUGAUCUCUAACCUUGGACUUCCCUUCAAAAGCUCGCAAGAGAUAACUAAUGGAUGUCUCCUUGGAGUCCAAAAGCUUACCAAGUGUUGGCUAUUCUAGAAAAUCCUACCUUCAAGUCACCUCCCAAAGGCUCGCAAGGGGUAAACUAGUGCAUCUCCAUGGACGGAAAUCACUUGCCUUACCAAGUGUUGGCCCAGGUGAUUUAAAGGCGUUUUAAGUUAACUAAAAAGAUAAAAACCAUUAACGGGUCACACUUUCUCUUCAUUAAAAACUAAAACAACAAAACUUCCAAAUUAUGCAUGUGGAAACUUACCCGGCUUUCCUUACUCCAAGAGACAAAAAGCUUAGCCUCUCAUCUUCUAAGGAAAAAUCCUCAGAGUUUGGUUGGCUAGAAAUAAAAAGAAAUGAAAAAUGAAAGAGAAGGAAAAACAGAGCAAGGCUCUGUAUAUUCUAUAUAUUGAUCGAUCUGAUUACAUAUAUGAUCUAUGAUGAUUUUACAGUGGAUGCAAGGGAAUAUAUAUAGAGACGUUUUUCCAACUUUCCUCACUAAGAAAUCUUAUGGUUGGUGGCUUACAAGGAGAAGAAUGGAAAUUUAUACAAAAAUAUCUGAAGAAAAGAUCUAAAAGAGUCGGUGCACAAAUAUCAGGAAGCACUAAGGACAUUUCGCAGGUGAAAACGAGGUCUGCGAGAUUUCGCAAACACUCAAGAAGGCUGCGAAAUAUUUUCGCAACAACAAGUUAAACUCGCAGGGCUGCGAAGUUGGCUUCCAACUUGAGGUUCUCAGCGUUCCAGCUUGCGGCAUGUAUCGGGUAGCUUCAGGAGGAAUUCCAUAGCACUGUACAAAAAGGCUGCGAAAUUCUCGCAACAAAAGGCUGAUUUCGCAACACUUUGGAGUGAUCUGCUUGCAAUGGCUAUAACUCCUUCGUUUCAACUUCGAAUUGCACACCGUUUGAAGCAUUGGAUUUUUGACUUCCUGAGCUUUGAAAUGGUAUAUAGAAUGUAGAAAAUGGACUUCAGGAAGUGUUCCAAAAGUGCAAAAGAAGACUGUAGCUAGCUUUCCUCUGUUUUCUUCACUCUAUUUUUCCUCUCUCCAGUACUCUUUCCUUGCAUACUUUGAACGACUUUGGCAAAGGGCUAUGGAGCUCCAAAGCUUGGUUCUUCAUGAAUUUGAGCUUCCAAAAGCUUUGCCAUGAACUAUAUACAAUUCUCCCUCAUUCUUGGAUUGUUUUGGUGAUCAAAUUACUAACAAAAACACCAAAACUUACACAAUUUGAUUAGAAAUGAUUGCAAGGGUCCUUAACAUGUUAAUUGGGUUAAAAGGCAAUAACUACUACUCAAAAGUGUUUAAAAGAGUUAAUUACAAGCUAUCAAAUAGCACUUUUUAAGUAGUAAUCAGCCAGUCGACUCGCUUCAGGUGAAGAAUUCACUCCACAUAUUGACGCCAAGAUAAAGGCUAAAGUUGUUAAGGUGGGUGCACAUGAGGUUCUUUUGUAUCAUCAUGUGGAGGGACGUUUUCAUGUUAAAACUAGACACUCUGUUGGAAGCAGUAAUAGGAAACCUUGCACAUAUCAUGUUACCCUUCAAACGGGGUCUUGCACAUGUAACAAAACACUUUUGUUAGGAUUCCCAUGUUCGCACAUUCUUACUGCUUGUCAUUGGCGAGCAAUUGAUUUUCGACAAUUUGUACAAGGUUAUUACACCACACGUGCUUACCUAUCAACAUGGGCUCCCUUGUUUUAUCCCAUAUUUGAUGAGUUGGAGUGGCCUCAAUAUAAUGGACCGAUAAUUGUGCCUUCAGACUCAAUGAAACGGCUAACUUCUGGUCGACCAAAAUCAAGUCGUUUGCAUAAUGAGAUUGAUGCAGGAGAAACUAGGACUCCACAAACAUGUGGACUUUGCAAGCAAUCAGGUCACAAUCGAUGUUCUUGUCCUAAUAGAGAAACCAAUGAUAGGAGGAGUUGAUGUACUUCAUGAGCAUCUUAUUGUACUGUUUUUUUUUUUUUUAAUUUACUAGUAUUGACCUUAAUCGUUUUAAGAUAUAUGUAGAAACUAUCUUAUUGAACAUCUUAUUGACGUUUGUUUGUUUGAAAUUAUUAUUUUUUGUCAAUUCAUUCUUAUUUUGCUUAUAUCAGGUUACAUGAAAAAAAUAUUAAUCUCUAUUAUUUAGGGGAGAUGUUGUUCAAAUUUUUAAAAUUUUAAUAAUGAAAUUCAUGUUGUUAGAAAUUGUUGUUUUUUUGUCAAUUCAUUCAUAUUUUACUUAUAUCAGGUUACAUUGAAAAAUUUUGAAUCUCUACUGUUUAGGGGAAAUGUUGUUCAAAUUUUUACAAUUUUAAUAAUGAAAUUCAUGUUGUUAGAAAUUGUUGUUUUUUUGUCAAUUCAUUCAUAUUUUACUUAUAUCAGGUUACAUUGAAAAAAUUUGAAUCUCUAUUGUUUAGGGGAAAUGCUGUUCAAAUUUUUACAAUUUUAAUAAUGAAAUUCAUGUUGUUAGAAAUUGUUGUUUUUUUGUCAAUUCAUUCAUAUUGUACUUAUAUCAGGUUACAUUGAAAAAUUUUGAAUCUCUACUAUUUAGGAGAAAUGCUGUUCAAAUUUUUACAAUUUUAAUAAUGAAAUUCAUGUUGUUAGAUAUUAUUGUUUCUUGUCAAUUCAUUCAUAUUUUGUUUAUAUCAUGUAUUGAUGUACAUGCAGACAUGGAUACUCCGUUGUUUCGUGCUCGUCUUGACCCUGAGGAUACAUCUGUGCUUACUCUUCAGCAUUAACAUCGAUCAUCCACCAUUCGUGUUGAUCCAGAUAUGGGUAGUGUUUUGACUUGUCGACACAGGAUGCUUCGAGAGUGGGUUUUGGAUGAUCGUGUUCGGCCAUACAUUAUACAGUCAAGAUUUUAUGUCUUUCAUCGAGUGGGCCAUGUUAAGGUUGAUUGGCCUUUGAUUACUGCACUGGUAGAGAGAUGGCGCCCAGAGACGCACACAUUCCACAUGCCAGUUGGUGAGAUGACCAUCACAUUGCAGGACGUAGCCAUCUUAUUUGGAUUACGUGUACAUGGCCAUCCUGUCACUGGUUCUACAAAUAUUGAUUGGCAUGCACUUUGUGAGGAGUUAUUGGGUGUUCGACUGACAGAGACUGAUAUUCAUGGAGCAUCUCUUAUAGUUCGUUUUAUUACUACCCAUUUCUCCCACUUACCACCAGGGGUUGUAGAUGAGGUUACGUUACAACGCCAUGCUAGAGCUUAUCUUUUAUUGUUAGUUAGUGGUUCAUUAUUUACAGAUAAGAAGGGGGUUUACAUCCAAUUAGCAAUUCUACCCAUGUUAAGAGAUUUUGGUGAGACUGCACAGUAUAGUUGGGGGAGUGCGACACUAGCACAUCUUUAUCGAGAGUUAUGUCGAGCUAGCUUAGAUAGUGCAGAAUCUAUUGCAGGACCAUUACAUUUUUUGCAGGUAUAACUACUAGUCUUAUUAAUUAUGUAAUUUUUUCAUAAUUAUGUGCAUUUAAACAUAAUUUUAUUUCAUUUUUAGCUAUGGUCAUGGGAGCGAUUACAUGUGGGUCUUCCUAGUAAAUCACUUCCCCAUGCACCAGUGCCUGUAGAUGAGAGAUUCCCACCAGAUGCACUAGGGAGUAGGUGGAGAGUUCCCUUAUCUCAUACAGACACUCCUCAUCAUGUGUUGGUCACAUACAGAGAUGAGUUUGAUAGACAGUGAUCUGAUCAGGUUUGGGCUAAAUAUUAGUAUUCUUUAACAUGAACAUCUUAAUAUUAAUAAUAUAAUUUAUACUUUAUUAAAUACAUACUCAUCUAUGAAUAUAUCAGGUAUUAUGGCAGCCUUACACAGAUGAUAUACUAGCGUUGCUUCCAGACAUUUGUUUAGCUGAUCAGGAUAUUUGGCAGACGAUGUCACCACUUUUUUUUUUUUUAUAUUGUUGAGUGGCAUCGUCCUGAGCGUGUGUUGCGACAGUUUGGACUCAUAUAGGGUAUUCCUUCGACACCCCCUAUAGAUUCUGACCUUCACUCCAUAGAUCGACGUGGUCAACCUCAGUUUGAUUGGAGGUUGUAUCAUGAGCACUACGUGGCAUUAUGGGAGGCUAGAGGGGACCACAUUGUCACUAUGGAGCCUAUAGGGCCUCAUAUGGACUACCAUGCUCCGUACAUGACAUGGUAUCGUCAUAUUACACGUCAUUUUAUUACACCUAUGAAUGAUUUUGGACCUAUGCGGUACCAGGCUACUGCUUUAUUUGCCCACUUAUUGGUUUGUAUCACUUUAAUAUUAUGUACAUAUUCUGUAUAAUAUUUAUUCCAACAAAUAAUUAUAUAUCAUUUUAUGUGACAGAUUGAGACUAUGACAUCAAUCAUAUCUCGAGGAGGUCAUGCAUUGGAGGACUCUGAUACUGAUGCUUGCCGCACUGGUAUUGUUGAUAUUAUUCGUAUGGCCACUGAUGUUAUGUGCAUUAUUCGGGAGGAUUAUCGUCUCCCACAUGUAAAGCAUGGAGGAGAUAGGUCACUAGCUCAGUCAACAGUUGCUCGACCACCACUUGUUCGAGGUCGGUCGACAUCUCGAGGGAGAGGUAGAUAUAGUAGUUGUCAGCCCAUCACAUCGUCAGUAUCAGCAUCAUUACAGCCCCCUACCUUUUUAUCGUCACGAUUAGUACAGUCACCCAUCUCUUCAGACGUACCAUCAGUGCAGCACCCUACUUCUUCAGACCCACUAUCAGCCCAACCCCUUACUUCUUCAGACCCACCAUCAGUACAACCCCCUACCUCUUUAGACCUACCUCCAUUACAACCUCUUAUCUCUUCAGACCCACCAUUAGUGCAGAUUGACACAUCUACUCAGCUAGAUUUACCACCAGCCAUUCCGAGGGGUAGGUAGGGCCUACGUCGACCUAGAUUGCUACCUCCACCACCACCUCUAUUUCCAGCUCUAGCCCCAUAACAGACAGAUGUUCUUCAUGUGUCACAUGCAAUACCUGCUACAGUUAGAGAGGAGCGUCCAAAAAGGAAGAGAGUACCAGUUACACAUAGGUUCUCUCCUUGUGGAGGCAUGUGAGAUUAUAUAUGUUUUUUAUUUUCCACUAUAUUAAUGUUUAGUGGAUAUUUUUUGUGACUUUAAUUAAACUAUUAAAAAUUACAUUUUGUAGUAGACUUUUUGUAAUUAAUUUCAUUAACUAAUUUUGUAAAAAAAUCUAUAUAUGACAACUACGGCCUUAGAGUAUGUUAUUAUUUUGUUAAAGAUAAAUUUAUCAUAAUACAAAUAAAUUAAUAUCUUAAAAAUUAACAAAUUAAAUAUCUUAAAUUAAUAAAUUAUACAAUUUUAUAUAUUAUUUAUAUGUUAUAUAAAUUUAUUAUUUUAAGAUUAUUAAUUUAUUAAUAAAUAAAACACUCAUUUAUAAUAUCUUCUAUUUAUUAAUUUAUGUUUGUUGAAGUAAUACUAGAUUUUUAAGUUUAAAUAUAAAUAAUUUAUUAUUUAAGUAUAUUUUUUAAAUUUCAAUCAUAAAUUGUGAUUUAAUAGUUUUUAAUUAAAUUUGAAAGUAAAAAAAAAAUAUUAUAAUUGAAAUCUUAGUUAUCAACUACUAUACUAUUAUUUCGAUAAAGAUAAAUUUAUCAUAAUAUAAAUAAAUUAAUAUCUUAAAAAUUAACAAAUUAAAUAUCUUAAAUUAAUAAAAUAUACAAUUUUAUAUAUUAUUUAUAUGUUAUAUAAGUUUAUUAUUUUAAGAUUAUUAAUUUAUUAAUAAAUCAAAUAUUAAUUUAUAAUAUCUUCUAUUUAUCAAUUUAUGUUUGUUGAAAUAAUACUAGAUUUUUAAGUUUAAAUAUAAAUAAUUUUUUAUUUAAGUAUAUUUUUAAAAUUACAAUCAUAAAUUGUAAUUUAAUAGUUUUUAAUUAAAUUUGAAAGUAAAAAAAAAUAAUAUUAUAAUUGAAAUCUCAGUUAUCAACUACUAUACUAUUAUUUCGAUAAAGAUAAAUUUAUCAUAAUACAAAUAAAUUAAUAUCUUAAAAAUUAACAAAUUAAAUAUCUUAAAUUAAUAAAUUAUACAAUUUUAUAUAUUAUUUAUAUGUUAUAUAAGUUUAUUAUUUUAAGAUUAUUAAUUUAUAAUAUCUUCUAUUUAUCAAUUUAUGUUUGUUGAAAUAAUACUAGAUUCUUAAGUUUAAAUAUAAAUAAUUUAUUAUUUAAUUAUAUAUUUUUAAUUUUAAUAAUAAAUUGUAAUUUAAUAGUUUUUAAUUAAAUUUGAAAGUAAAAAAAAAUAUAUUUGAAAUCUCAGUUACCAACUGCGACUUAAAAGUAUACUAUUAUUUCGAUAAAAAUAAAUUUAUCAUAAUAUAAAUAAAUUAAUAUCUUAAAAAACAACAAAUUAAAUAUCUUAAAUUAAUAAAUUAUACAAUUUUAUAUAUUAUUUAUAUGUUAUAUAAGUUUAUUAUUUUAAGAUUAUUAAUUUAUUAAUAAAUAAAACGUUCAUUUAUAAUAUCUUCUAUUUAUUAAUUUAUGUUUGUUGAAGUAAUACUAGAUUUUUAAGUUUAAAUAUAAAUAAUUUAUUAUUUAAGUAUAUUUUUAAAUUUCAAUCAUAAAUUGUAAUUUAAUAGUUUUUAAUUAAAUUUGAAAGUAAAAAAAAAAUAUAUAUUAUAAUUGAAAUCUCAGUUAUCAACUGCUAUACUAUUAUUUCGAUAAAGAUAAAUUUAUCAUAAUACAAAUAAAUUAAUAUUUUAAAAAUUAAAAAAUUAAAUAUCUUAAAUUAAUAAAUUAUUUAUAUGUUAUAUAAGUUUAUUAUUUUAAGAUUAUUAAUUUAUUAAUAAAUAAAUUAUUCAUUUAUAAUAUCUUCUAUUUAUCAAUUUAUGUUUGUUGAAGUAAUACUAGAAUUUUAAAUUUAAAUAUAAAUAAUUUAUUAUUUAAGUAUAUAAAUUAUAAUUUAAUAAUUUUUUAAUUAAAUUUUAGAUUUAAAUAAAAAUUAACUAAAGUCAUAGUUGCCAACCGCGGCUUUAGUUAAAAAAUGAAGCCGCGUUUAGCAACUGCGACUGUAGUACAAAAAUGAAGCCGCGUUUGCCAACUGUGACUUUAGUACAAAAAUGAAGCCGCGUUUGCCAACUGCGACUUUCACUAUAAUGACGAAAAAAAAAAAAUUUAAUGACAUGGCGCCUACGUGGCAUCAAAGAGGUCAAUUUGAACAGAAGUUUAAAAAAGUGGUUAGAUGUUAUAAUUUUUUUCAAAAAUGGGUCAUUUUGACCCAAAACUCGAAAACGGAGGUAAGUCAGGUCAAGUGGGCCCACCUGACCUACCACAUUAAAUUGUUUGGAAAGUGGAAAUUCAAACUAAAAUUGCCUAGAAAGUGAUUUCCCAUUUGCCUGGAAAUUGCCUUGAAACUGGGAACUCAGCUAGAUUUAAAAGCAACAAACCUGGCUGUUGCUUUUUGAUUUUACACCAAAAACUUUCUCAAUAACCCCAUUUUUUUAAAAGAAAAUUUGAUGGAAACAUUAUAUAUAUAUAUAUAUAUAUAUAUAUAUAUAUAUUAAUUAAUAAAAAUAAAAUUAUAAUUCAAAUAAUUUUUAUUUCCUUUAUUUAUUUACCCUUUUUACCCCAUAAGGGUGAAAAAAAAAAGAAAAAAAAAACUAAAUUGCAAAUAAAAUGAGAAUAGAAAUUUAACAAACAUUUCUUACUUUUUAUUGCUGAAUAUAGGAAUUUACAAGUUGAAGAUACAACUGAUUGUAUUUCUCUUGAUCUCUCUAUUGAUUGCUUUUUGAUCGCUCGCUUGCUUGCUCUAUCAGUUUACAACAAAAAUAUUUACAAAGUUUUCAAAUGUUUAGUUAACAAUAAAUGUAAAGAAGGUAAGAUUUGACUUUUCUUUCUUCUUUACCAUCCGUCUAGUGGCUUCUUCCUUAUCUCUUUCUUCUUUUUUAUCACAUGCAGUAUACAUGGCUUUAUUGAUUAUGGACUUCUAAUGUUGUAUUAAAUUCUUGUAGUUGAAGACAUAUUUCGUGCUUCAAUGUCGUCAUUGCUAACAUCAACGUUCCAUUGCAUUUUGUAGAUUAAAAUAACUUUCGUCGUUAAGGUUUUCCCAAAAUGAUGCAUCAUCGCUGAGGUAAGAAGAUGGUUCUGGUAAUUCUACAUCGAGUUCGAUUAUAAAAUCUUGUUCUUCAGAAGUAAUGAAAGGUUUCAGAACAAUAAUGUGUUCUAAAGGUUUGUUUCUCCAUAUAGACAUUUCUACAAUGAGAUGAAAUAAUUUAUUUCAGGUUGGUUUAAGAUCAUAAAUUUGAAAGGCUCUAAAGUGAGUAAAAAAUUCUGAAAAUUCAUUCGAAUUGGUCAUUUCCCAUUCUGGUUCUUGUUGAGGGAUGAGUGAUUCUUUAUUGUGUUUUAUAUAAACAUGGUGAUAGAUUAGCACUAUUGAUCAAUUGGUUUGAAAUAAAGGUGGAAUGGUUUCAAAAGAAAUGUCGAUUUGUUUUUUGGUUUUUAAAAUUAGUUGUUUAGCUAAACUGUUAACUUUAGUUGAAAGUAUUUAAUUUUAAGAAUAAAAUUUAGAAAAAGUAUAAAUCUAAAAUAAUCCUAUAAAAUUAGGAUUGGAUAGAUAAAUUCUAAACAUAAAACAUCAUUGCAUGAAAUAUUAUACAUAAAAUGUGAAAUACAUAUCAUGAAUUUUAUUUUAUAUUUAUAAUAUUAAAAAUAAAAUAGAAUUAACAAAAAUAAGUUAAAAUUAUUUUAUUAAUAUAUAUUGACAAAUAAAAGAUAAAAAUUAUAAUAUAUAUAUUUAGAAAAGUUAAAAUGAAAAAAGAGAGACAAUUGUCACACAAUGGUCUCCCUUUGUCACACAAUGGAGAGACCUUGUCAAUCGGGAAUGAAGUUACACUUUUAAAAAUUACUAGUAGAAAGCACGUGCGAGGCACAUGAAGAUGUACGUAGGUAUAUGAUUGUGAAUGUGCAGAUAAAUGGAAUGAAAGAUAUAAUGUUUGAAAAGGUAAUUAGUAAGUGAAUUAUCUUUUAAUAUAGAUAUAAUAAUUUAAAUUUCUUUACUUUUAAUAAUCUAUAAAUAAUUUUAAAUUGAUUAACAUAAUAUAUAAAAUGACGUAAUAUACCUAUAAUUUAAUUAAUCCAUAAAUAAUAAUUAUAAAUAGAAAUAUCAAAAUAUUAUCAUAUUUGAUUAUAGUAAUAGAUACUAUAUAUAAAUAUAUUAUUAUAAUAUAAGAUGAUAUUUUACCUUUCUUUAAAUUCUUUAUAUUUUUAUAAUUUAGUAAUUAAGUUAGUUAUUAAACUUAUCUUAAAGAUCAUAUAUUUGUUUUUUAAAUUUUAGUUUCUUGUUCAUCAAUAUUUCAAAUAAAUUAUUUAAAUUAAAAUUUAUUAUUGUAACUCAAGGAUGUACUUAAAGAAAAAUAGAUAGAACAUAAAAAAAUAUGUUAUUAUAGUCACGAUUUAGGUAAAAUCACAACCAAACAAAUAUGUGUCAUAAUUUACAAGUUUUGUAAUCCACCAUUGUUGUAAUGUACUCUUUUAACAAAUUUACUUAGUUGGUUUCUUCCAUAAGUUUGAAGCAAUACCUGUUUAUCUUUGUAAUUGCCUGAGUUAAAUUCAUUUCUUUUCUCUCUUGCAAAAAAGUUAUAUAUAUUUUAAAAGGUAUUAGGUGAAACAGAAAAAUGAUGCUUUAACCAUCGGUCAAACUAGUGAACCAUGAAUUAGUAAUUUUUUUUUAUUCAAUGACUGAUUUUAUUCUAAAAACAUUGAUUUAAAAGAUUUCAAAUUAACACUACCUAAAGGCAUUGAUAUAUAUGUAGAGGCUUUGGGUGUCAAUUAAGCCUAAAUAUUUAAUUGCAUCUCUUCUAGUAUUUAGGCAUGCACACAUGAUACAACUUUUUGUUUGAAUUAUAUUACAUACUAAUAAUAUUAUUAAAGAAAACUUAGAAAUAAACAUUUAAUGACUCAAAUUUUCUUUAUUUCUGAAAUUAAAUUAUACUUCUCUUCUUUAAACAAUUUUUUCAUAAAUGAAUGUGUUCAGACAUUUUUCAAGAUCUAUUUAUCUCGAUAAACAUAACUUUCAAAAUUUUCUUUUAACUUCUCUUCAUUUAUAUUCAUAUUUGUUUUGAAUUAAUUUUGAUUUAUCUAUUAAAAAUUAGUUGUAGUUUACAUUCUUUGUAUAAUAUUUAUUAUCAUCAUCAUUAUAAUAACAAAUAAAUGAUUAAAAAUAUUUGUUCAAAAAUGAGGUUAAAAAAUUUUAUAUAAGAAAAAUAAAAUGUGGUAAACUUGUUUUUAGGCAAACCCUUAAAUAUUUUCAUUAAUUAAUAAUUAUUUUAUUUUAUUUUUUUUUACAAAUUUUCCAAAUUCAUGUGAUAUAAUUUGAGUGAAAAUUUAUUAAAAACUCGAAAGAAAAAUAAAUAUUUGAUAUAUUAAUAAUUUAUACUUCUAGGUAAUAAAAUCUUCUUGUCCAACUCACGUAUUCAAUUAAUAAUCCUAAAUAUAUAAGAUAAUAAUUUUUUUAGAAAUUCUUAAGAGUCCAAUAAAAUAUAAAUUAAUAACUAAUGAAAUAUGUAAAGAAAAAAAAAUCAUAAUGCAAACUUUCUCAAAAUAUACAUUGAAAUUUUAAGUGUCUGCUCAUAAAAAAACAAUGAAAUCCCAAAUCCCAAUUUUAGCGAAGAAGAAGAAAUGUGAAUCCCAGGCUUUCAACUUCAAAACCGGAGAAAAGAAUGUACAAUUUAUUCAAAACUUUUAGGCCCCACUUAAAAACAUGGAAAAUUUGACAAUAAUGAAACCGCAUGGAAAACGGAGGUAAGUCAUGUCAAGUGGGCCCACCUGACCUACUGCAUUAAAUUGUUUGGAAAGUGGGAAUUCAAACUGAAAUUGCCUGGAAGUGAUUUCCCAUUUGCCCGGAAAUUGCCUUGAAACUGGGAACUUAGCUGGAUUUAAAAUCAGCAAACCUGGUUGUCAGUUGAUCAGCAACAACUGUGAAAACAAGUAAUGGCUGAAAGUAUUGUCACCGUUUUUCUAGAGAAGUUAACUGACCUGCUUUCCCAGGAAGCAUUUCUACUCAGCAGAGUGGAAGAGCAGGUGAAUCUGUUGAGUAUUGACCUCGAAUGGAUGCGCCAUUUUCUCAAAGACGCGGAUGCGAAGCGCAGAUAUGAUCCAAGAAUCAAGCUCUGGGUGAGUCAGAUCAGGGACGUAACCUAUGACGCCGAAGAUGUCAUCGACAGGUUCAUGUUCGAGAUGAAUCACCAACAGCAAGGAAGUCUCAAAUGCCUCAAGUUCCUUAAGUUACGAUUGGUUCACAAGCUCGAGUCUCGAAUCAGAGAGAUCAAUACCAAGAUUGAGAAGAUCAAGGCUGCCAAAUCAACGUUCGUUGUCGAAACCUUACCAGCUGCAAGCUCGCCCAACGAAGUUGUGCCACAUAGAGAGAGGAGGGCUCCGAUUGUGGAAGAAGUCAACGUGGUGGGAAUUCAAGAGGAUGCAAAAAGCGUCAAGCAAAAGCUGCUUAAUGGAGAGAUGCGGAGAGCUGUGGUGUCCAUCGUGGGCAUGGGUGGCUUGGGAAAGACUACCCUGGCUAAGAAAGUCUACAAUGAUAAUGAUGUCCAGCAAUGCUUUGAUUGUCAUGCUUGGAUUUAUGUCUCUCAAGAGUAUACAAUCAGGGAGCUUUUGCUGGGCAUUGCUGUUCGUGUUGGGAUUCUCUCCGAAGAGGAAAGGAGUAAAAUGAACGAGAGCGAUUUGGGGAAUAGUCUUCGUGAUUACCUGACUACCAAGAAGUACUUGAUAGUUAUGGAUGAUAUGUGGAGAAAUGAAGCUUGGGAUAGGUUGGGCUUGUAUUUUCCUGACUCGGUGAAUGGCAGCAGAGUAUUGAUCACCUCACGCAAUAAAGAGAUUGGUCUU